This 76564-nucleotide long non-coding RNA is filed under the name Lupinus angustifolius (narrow-leaved blue lupine). Its description in RNAcentral is "long non-coding RNA (LANG_LNC000223)". The record is from RNAcentral. Lineage: Eukaryota; Viridiplantae; Streptophyta; Magnoliopsida; Fabales; Fabaceae.
UCUAUAGCAGUACUCUAGAUGAACAUCUUGUCCAUUUAGAACUAGUGCUUGCUAGGAUGAGGGAGCACCAACUACUUGCCAAGCAGUCCAAGUGCUAUUUUGGGGUUCAGAGGUGGAAUACUUGGGUCAUUUCAUAUCAGCAGAAUGUGUAGCAAUAGAUCAUGCUAAAGUCAGUGCAAUGCAAAAUUGGCAUCUUCCUCAAACACUCAAACAUUUAAGGGGAUUCUUGGGAUUUGCAGGAUAUUAUAGGAGAUUUGUCAAUGGGCAUGGAACUGUUGCAAAACCAUUAACUGAAAUGUUAAAAAAAGACCAAUUUAGGUGGACACUUGAGGCUAAGACUGCAUUCUAGAAGAUCAAAGACUUGUUGACAACUGCUCAUGUGCUAGCUUUACCUGAUUUUGCACAGCAAUUCACCAUUAAAGUGGAUGCAUCAGUGCAAUGAAUAAGUGUUGUUUUGAUGCAAAGCAAUCAUCCUAAUGCUUUCAUUAGUAGGAUGUUGAAUCAACAACAACAAUCUAUGUCAACAUAUGAGAAGGAGCUGUUAGAUGUGGUUUUUGCAGUUCAAAAAUGUGAGAUUAUUUGCUUAAUAAGCACUUCAUCAUUAGAACUGGCCAUAGGAGGUUAAAGUAUAUACUAGAUCAAAGAUUAACUACUGAAUUUCAAUAAAAACGUCUGGUGAAGCUUAUGGAAUUUGACUUUUCUAUUGAAUACAAGCAAGGGAAAGAAAAUGUGGUUGUUAAUGCUUUGUCUCGAAUGGAAGGUGCAUAAUGUCAAGUAUUAAUUGUUCACACUGUGGAUUCAGAUAUGUUAGAAAGAAUUAAGAGAACUUGGAUUGGUGAUGCUAGUAUUCAAAGAAUAAUCAAUCAAGUGCAAGCUGCUCCAGCUAAACAUCCACAUUAACAUGGAAUGACAUAGAAUCGAGGAGAAAAGGCAAGUUGGUGGUAGGGAAAGAUGAUUCAUUGAGGCAUGAAUUAUUGAAAUGGAUCCAUGAGACAACUUCAGGAGGUCAUUCAGGCAGAAAUGCAACUAUUCAAAGAACUAAGAAUAUGGUUUACUGGAAGGGGUUGAACAAGGAUGUCAGAACCUUCAUUCAUCAAUGCUAUAUAUGCCAAAGGUGCAAAUAUGAUAUUUCUGCCUAUCUAGGGUUACUCCAGCCUUUACCCAUACCUGAACAUGUGUGGCAACAUAUUACAGUGGAUUUUAUUGACCUAGUUCGAAUGGUAAACAAGUUAUAUUUGUUGUAGUGGACAGGUUGAGUAAGGUUGCUCACUUCAUUCAACUUGCUCAUCCUUACACUACCACUAUUGUAGCCCAAGCUUUCAUGGUAUCAUGUCUUUAAGCUUCAUGGUUUUCCAGAUUCCAUCACAAGUGAUAGAGAUCCAGUGUUCAUUAAUAAGUUUUGGCAAGAUCUCAUGGCUUUUCAAGAGGUGCAAUUACAACUUUCAACUUCAUAUCACCCUCAAACUGAUGGACAAUCCGAGGUUGUGAAUAGAUGCUCGAAGACCUAUCUCAGAUGUAUAUAGGGGUGUAAGCGGUUCCGGUUUAAACUGCAAAACCGAUGGAACCGAACUGAACCAAACCGCAAAAUGUGGUUCGGUUCGGUUUCGCGGUUCAGUUCGGUUAAUUUUUUAAGGAACUGUUUAUGUUCGGUUCGGUUUAUGGUUUUAGAAAUUUAGGAACCAUUGGAACCGAACCGCAUAUUAAAGAAAUAUAUACUAGGGAUUAGAGAAUAAUGUUUUAUUAUUGUUUAAAUUCUUCAACCAACUUUCUAGCUUUAAAUUAUCAUUUUUUGUGUGAAUUGUAGUGUUAUAUAUGUUACUAAAUUGUUUCUUAGUAUCUUAUGAUUUGAAACAUAUUUUUCAACUUAUGUGAUAUUGAGUUUGAAACCAACAUAUAUCAUAUAUUGUUAUACAUGUAUUGUUACAUGUAUUACUAACUGAAAUGUAAGGUUAUAAAUGUAACUAUUAUAUAUUUUACUAAUUGAUAUAUAUAUUACUAAUCAUGAAUUGUAUUGUUAUAUAUGAUUCAUAAUUUUUUAUAAUAAUAGUAGUAAUGUUUAUCCUUUUAUGGAUAAACAAUAUCUCUUGUAAUAUAUUUUGAAUUUUCAAUUGAUACAAGAUUUUUUUAUAAAAAAAUAAAUGGAAAAACGUGGAACCGAACCGAACUAUUCAAGAGCGGUUCGGUUCAGUUCUUAUAGUUAAAUUUGUGGUUAAUUGAGUAGAACCGAACCAUAUAUUUUUUAUCGGUUCGGUCACUAAAAUGCAUCAAAAACCAAACCGAACCAAAUUUUUACACCCCUAGAUGUAUGUGUGCAGACAUGCCUCAAUAGUGGUCAAACUAGUUGCCCUUAGCUGAAUGGUGGUACAACACUACAUUCCACAUUGCAAUACAAACUACUCCUUAUGAAGUGGUUUAUGGUCAACCUCCUCCAUCACAUUUGCCUUAUUUACCAGGGGGAUCAAAAAUCCAGUUGGUAGAUAGGAUUUUGGCUAAAAGGGAAGAGAUGUUGAAGGUGCUUAAGUUCCAUCUUCGAAGAGCUCAAGAUAGAAUGAAGCAAAUGGCAGAUAAGCAUAGAAGUGAGAUACAAUUUCAUGAAGGAGACUUGUUGUACAUCAAAUUGCGGUCUUAUAAACAUAUUUCUGUUGUAGCUAGAGUGAAUGAAAAGCUUACUCCCAAAUGUUUUGGCCCCUACCCAAUUCUCAGUAAGGUUGGUUUAGUGGCUUACAAGGUGCAACUCCCUGAUCAUGCUAAAAUUCACAAUGUGUUCCAUGUUUCUCAACUUAAAAAACAUGUGGGACAAGCUCUUACUUCUACAAUCUUUCCUUCCAUUGCAACUCAUGAACCUAAUGCUAAGGAACCUGAGCUCAUUCUGGACAGAAUCACAGUCAAACGAAGAGGCCAAGCAAUGACCAAGGUGUUAGUUAAGUGAAAGCACCAACAAGUGUAUUUCAUGACUCUAAAGUCUUCAUUUUUCCUUCCUUCUCUUCCAAAAUUGAACUUGUAAAUGGAUCAAGUCUAUAAUUGACACUCUUUUAAACUGAGGGGGAAGGACAGUUGGUGGGGUCUAGUCCCUAUUCAGCCUAGAGUGAUACUUUUAUCCCUUUCAAUUGGGAGCCAGACUUUUAAUAGGAAAUCUUGAACAUACUACUCGUUUCCUUAUCCUACAUGUUACAACUCUUACAUAGGGAAGAGGAAGAUACUUUUCUCAUUAAAUUAGGUAACUACCUUCACAAAAUAUUCCUAGAGACCAAAUAAAUAGACGGGAAGCGUAUAAAGCGAAGAAUAAAGCUGCACAACGAAUUGCAAAAAUUGGCGAUGGAUCCAAAACAGGCAUCCUUCUUGAAACUCCAAAAGAUAACUGUUUUGACACAAUUUCUUACAACAGUCAAAUGAAUGAUUCCAUCAAAUUGGUAUUAAAGAUUGGCUGAUCAUUGUUUUAUAAAAUUGAAGUAAGAAAAUUCUACAAAGUACAUAUCCAUUGAACAAAUAUUUUCAAACAAAAUAUUCUCAUUCCAACCUCUCCAAUCAUAGUUUCAGUACAGAAAAUGGAAGCAUAUUAAGAUCAACUCAGUUAAAAUAUCAAGAAGCAUUAUUACCCUUUGUUGUGAUCUCAACUCAAGUUUCUGCUAUAUGGCACCGCUCCAUAUUUAAGUACUCAACUCAGACUUCAAGUUGAACUAGGACUUUGCCAUGUUGAUAUAUCAGUAAUAAGAUCACGCAGUUGAUCAAUGAGUAUCUUCAGGUGCAAGUUCUUGUUGGCAACCUCCUGUGUUUAUGAACAGUAGUUCGAAGUUUAACACAGCACAAAAACAUGAUUUUCAGACAACACUAGAUAAGCUCUCAAAACUUGAGUCUAGAACAAUUAUUUUUUUUGCAACACUAAUUUGUUUCAGAAGUAGUCAAGUAGAUUAAGUCUAAAACCCAUAAUAAGAGUUUUAUUAGUUUCAGUUAAUAGUAGCUCACAAACAUGAUUGACAAAUACGUGUUAACCUGAAUCCCAAUCCACGAAAAUCUGUGACUAAAGCGACAAUUUCAAUUGUUAGGAUUUGUAAACCUUAUUAUACCUACCUUUCUUAGAGAAGAGGCUUGCUCUGCCAACUUCUCAAUUUCUGCUUCAUCUGCAGGGCUAGCAUCUGAGCCGCUUCCAAAUGCUUUUGCCUAUGAUAUUAACUGAGUUAGUUUCACUAAGAAAUAAAAGCUCUAGUAUACGAAAGAAUAUUGAAAAACUCACAAUAAGUUGUAGUCCAAUAAAUAUUUAAGCAAAACAAUAAAACACACAACAAUGUGUUAUCUCCUUAAACAAAUGGAAGAAACGACACAACCUUUGGAUUUCAAACAAGAAAUGGGUUGGCUCCUUCAUAGAACAAGAGUUAAUGUCAGGCUAGGUCACAUGGCACCUAUCAAAGAUCCCUUAUAUUUCAAGACCAUGAGCGAGGUGCUACAUGAUGAAAAACUUGCACAUUAUGUUAGGAUGGUUUUGAUGCAACAUAGCAUAGUACUAGGGGAAGAUAUUAUGAAUGUGUAACAAUUUAACAAAGAGUUUGAUAUGUGUAAAGAAUAGGGACUUAUCCACGGAUUCCCAAGCAUGUUUGAGAUCAUGCUGUAAAGGGUAAUUCUACGUAUCAGUAUGUAUACAUAUUUGUAUUCAUUUCAAUAGACAGGGAUGCUUCAAAUAUAGUUUUGCAAAUAGUGAUGUUCGGCAAAAACUAUAUAAGAAGCAAGAAGUUGAAUGCAUGCGUCAACCCAUGCAUAAGAUACUAUCGCUACAGUUACAAAAGUAGAUACAAGAAAUGGGCUGGAAUUUCCUCAACCAACAUAAAAUAGAAUAAACCAACGAUCGAACUUAAAGAAAGAUAAAUUUUGGAAUACCACAGAAUAAACCUGUUUGUGUUGAUGCAAUGUCUGCUGCACUUCACAAACAAGAUCACCAAAAAACUGUAGUUUAGUAUCCUCCACACCUGAUGUACUGUUAACAUGUCUAUCCAAAUAUAAAUUAAACCAUCACCCUACUUUUGAAUGAUUACUCUUGCAUGUCUAACCAGUAACAACUAAACUAAAAUUUGAAGAUUAUUCACUAAAGGUAAAUUUAAUAAAGAAUAACAUUAUAAAAUUUAAAAAAAAAUGAUGCAUAGUGAAAGGAAUCCACUUUGACAAUCAUCUAAAGAAGUAAAGCUUUGCAAAUGUAACGAUGAUAUUAGAAAUGUCAAUAUUUAUGAGACUGCAUUUCAACUAGGAAGAAUAGGUACAACAUGGGACACCAAAGCUAUGACACAAGAGGAAACAUUGUUUUAAAUUGCAGUAAGGGUUACUGUAAUUGCGGCUGUUGCAAUUUGAAUUAUUUUGCGAUUAAAAAAAUAUUUUUGAAUUCAAUGUGGCUUGAUGCGGACUGAUGUGGUUGCCUUGCAGCCGGAGCGGCCGCAUCAUUGUGAUUUAGAGUCACACUGCAAUUGCGGUGUGAUACGGUUGGGGUGACAGCCAUAACAGGUGGUUCACUAUUUUAUUUUACCUUACUACCGAAUUCAGCAUACCACCUACAAUAUACCAGGUUCGUCAUAAACGAAGUCUUGUAAUAAUAAGAUAAGAAUAACAACCAUUACGAGCAAUGUACCAGAACCGGUACUGUGCAACUUAGACAUAUAUCAGGUUCGUCAUAAAGUAAGCCUCACAACUUUGGUGGAACAUAUUAAACCAUUAUAAAGUUCUAGCUUCAUAGUAAUCUUCAUUAAACAGAAAGAAUACGAUUAACCCAAGUUUGAAAACUAGGGUUCAAAAUGGUACCUUGUGGGAAUUGGGAAUUGCAGAAAGAGUAGUCUUAAGUGAAGCCACAGCAUUUUUAUACCGAAAUAGAGACUCCUCAAGAGCGCCACCAGCACCUCCACCGCCGCCGCUCUUGGCGUGGUGGUUGGAGUUAUCGGAAUUUGCAUCCCCAAUUGAAGAAGGAGCAUUAGGGUUAGGGGAUGUAGUAUUAGAAGGUGAUGGAGAAGUGAACCACAAAACGGGGUUGCAGAGUUCGUCGUUCAUAGAGGAAAGGAUCUGAAACGCGUAUUCUGUGGUUUCUUCAAGGUACUUCUGUCCUUCAAUUGCAAGCUCUUGUGUCGUUUUGGAACUGCUUGAGUUGCCGUUUACUGAGUCUUCUUCCAUUCUAACAACUCAAUUUGGGAAUAGGGGAAAUCGAUCAGUAAAAUUUGGUCUGAUGUGGAGAAUAAGAAGGAGACGGUGAAUUAUAAAACCCUAACCCCUGAUUUGGUAAGAUUUACCAAAAAAACAGAUGUUUUGUUGUUUGUUAGCUACCAAAUUAGUAGCUGGAGAAAAUAGGACAAUUAGAGAAGACUGAGAUAAUUUUGUUUUUUGAGAAAACUCAAUAAAAGCAUUUUUUUUCUUCCUCAUUCCCCUUUUUAACUUUUAAUGAAAUUGAUAUAACAAAAGGAUAAAAAUAAAUUAAUAAUAAUGAAAAUUUCUAAUUUAUGUAUUUUGUUUUAACCUUGACUAUUAUAUUAUUAUUAUUUAAUUAUAAUAUAUAUAUAUAUAUAUAUUAAUAUUAUUUUAUUAAUUACUUUUAACUCUAAAAUUUACUUAUCAUUUUUUUUUCAAUUUGUAUUAACUAUUUUUAACUCUUAUAUAUAUAUAUAUAUGAGAGAUCUGUUUACACUUAAUUUGAUUCAUUCAUUUCUAAAUCUAACAUAUCAAAUUGGUGAGUACAAUAACUGAUGAGAGAGAAAAAGAUAAAUUAUAAAUAACUUUUAAGUUUCACCAAUUUGUCCCAUUAGAUUUAAAAAAAAUGAAUAGUUGAGAUUGUAUAUAUAUAUAUAUAUAUAACUUUAACUUUUGAUGACAUAUUCUUCCAAAUAUCAAUAUUGGCUAAUCUGUCUUUACAUUGCUUACAUUGAGAGUUUAAUUGUAGUGAUUUACUUAUUGAACUAUUAGUAAUUUCAAAAUGAGAAAAAAAAUUAUAUAUUGAUAGUGCAAGAGUUUUUUACAUUGUCAUUACAUCAUUCAUCAUCCAUUUUUAAUAAUCAUUGACUCUUAAAUAAAAAUAAUGCAAAUAAAUGGUGAAUAAUACGCUAACUGUACAAAAAAAUUUAUACUGUCAACUAUAGAUAUUAUACUCUUUAAAAACAUAUUUAUACAAUGACUGAUUUACCCACUCAUAAAGUUUAAGGAUAAGAAGAAAAAAAUAGUUAAUGAUGAUUAUGUAUAAAAAUAUAUAAAAUUUAGAAAUUGUUUAUAUAUUUUUCCCUUUCUAAAUGGAAGGCAAUGCAAUAAUAGGCUACCCACACAAUUUAUUGAUCUUGUUAUUCCCUACUUUAUGGUGUUUUUUCUUUAAAUCAUACGGUUUCUUAUAUUUAUACUAAAUUUUAUUUUCCAAUUGUAGAUUUGUAGCCUUAUAUGGUACUCAUCUUUUUCAUUCAUAAUUCUCCAUUUUAUUUUAAUUCAGUUUCUGAUAUGUAUUAAAUAAAACUAUUUUAGUUAAACUAUAUAUUCAACUUUUAUAUCAUUUAUUAAUUUCUUAAAUUGUAUAUAUAACAUUAAACAUGAAAAACUUUGGAACUAAUGGAGUAUUUAUCUAAAAAAUUAAGUCAUAAGCCAUUAGAAAAAAAAAAGUUAACUUGAUAAGUUGAUUCAUUUAAACAAAUAUAUUAGAGUAAAUUAUACUAACACCCUCUGAGUCUUAGUAAAAUUAUACAAACUACCAAUGGAUGUAUAUGUUAUAGCAGGAAGACUCCAAAUCCUUCCUUCGGGAAUCAAGUACAAAAGAGAAUUUAAGUCAUAUUAUGAUAUUACCAAGCUCUGCUCUCUCUUAAAGGACAAACUCCUAUCUUUAUGCGCAGACAACCUUGAACAGUUCAACCAUCCAAAACCCCAAUAGAAAAAUCCAAACUUCUUUGUCGAGCUUCCAUUUAAGUUAAAGGAAGAUGUCAAACCUACAAAUGCAAUAGAUCCAAGAAUGAGUCCUCCUUGAGGUUAUGCAAGAGUGUGCCCAAUUGUUAAAAUAAGGCCUUAUCGAGUCCAUAAAGUCUGAGUGGGGAUACCAAGCCUUCUAUGUUGAAAAGAGAUCUGAAAAAAUAAGAGGUAAGAAGAGGCUAAAAAUUGACUACCGACCUCUCAACCACUUCCUCAAGGAUGACAAGUUUCAUAUCCCUAAAGCAUUUUCUCAACAUGUGUUGAUUAGAGACACCAAGAUAUAUUCAAAGUUUGAUCUUAAAUCUAGGUUUUGGCUACUUGGAUUAGACCCUGCUGAUCGCAACAAAUCUACAUUCUACAUCCUAAAUGCACAAUAUCAAUGGACAAUCCUACUCUUUAGGUUGAAGGUUGCCACAUCUCUCUUCCAAAAGGCAAUGACUAGGACUUUUGAGUCUAUCCUAAAUAACAUCUUAAUCUAUAUUUAUGACAUUCUUCUGUUCUCAAAGGGUAAGUCCUUCUACAAAAAUGUAUCAGAUCAAUUUUUCAGCCUUGCCUAACAACGUGGAAUAAUAUUGUCAGAAAAGAAGAUUCAAUUAUAACAAACUGAAAUUGACUUCUUGGGAAUGUAUUUUUUCAACGGUAUUUACCAGCCCAACCGAAUAAUGAAGAAAAACUGCUGAAUUUCCCUAAUGAAAAUCUCUCGACUGAAUAAGUUCAAUAGUUUCUUGGGAUUCUCAAUUAUGUGUGGGAUUUAUCUCCGAUACGGUAAAAUGGAGAAGGAACUAAAGAAGAUUGCUCAAAAUCCUCCGGCACCUAAAAUCCCAACCACUAUCAAAUGAAUCUUGCAAAUUAAUGUAAAUGAUCAUUCCUGGGGGAGGGGGCAGUCUUUAUUGAAGAAGUUUAAGAGAAGGUAAUAUUGUGGACAUUCGAGUGGCUAAUUGAAGAAUGUAGAAAAACAUUAUCAUACUGCCUAUAAAGAGGCUGUUACUGUCAAGUAUAGAAUCCAGAAAUUUGAUUUUUAUCUAAGAGGUCAUACAUUUGAAGUACAAAUGGACAACUUCUCUUUCCCCAAGAUUCUAGAAUUCAAAAAUAAUAUGCCACCUGGUCUUUAGAUACUCAGGUUAAAAAUUUGGUUUUCUAGAUAUGAUUUUAAUGUUAAACACAUUAAAGGAAACCAAAAUUUAGUCACAGAUUUCCUCUCUAGACUAAACAAACUCAUCAGUCUCAUCACCACUAUUAAUAUUUUCCGCUAAUCCUAAUAAUCAAUUCAUUACCAAAUUAUGCCUCCACUACCAAUGACCUCCCUCUAUGAGUAGAUUUCUCCUUUUCACCUAGAAAACUUAAAGAGUAUGCAAAGAAUUGUGUUCAUUAUUUUUUGCAUAAAGCUCUUAUAGGUUGCAAUGAUAGUUUUUGAGAAAAUUGUUUCCAUCCAGAGAUUCAUUUCCGUAAUCUCAUCUCAAUCAAUCCUCACUGUAGAUAUAUCCUUUCAUAGGAUCCAUUAUGGUACACAUGGUGUGUCACAUUUUUAUGUCAUGCUGAUAAGUGCCAAAAAUACCUAAUUUUCAUACACUUUUCAUGGCACUUAUCAUAUGCAAAAAUGUGAAAACCAACUUAACUCAACACUUUUUAGAUAAAUUUUGUGAGUUUAAAUAAUAUAAUUUUUUAUCAUCUCUUGUCCAAGUUUUCUAUGAGUUUCAUAGGAAAUUGGACCAAAAAAGAAUGCUUCGGCUUGAAGAAAGAAAGCUUACUUCAGCUUGAAGAAAUCAAGCCAAAAUACAUGACACGUGUAUGCUUAAAACUAAGCAUGGUAAGGUGUAUGCUUAAACUUAAGCAUGACUAAGCAACUUGGUCUUGGUUGGAAAAAAUUAAAGUCAAAGAUAAGCUGCUCACACAGUUGUCCAGCCAAGCACCAAGCCAAGUCAACCAGACUGCUCAAGCAGGCAGCUGAGCAUGCAUCAGGUCAGGCAGGCUGGUCAAGCAAGCAAUUGAGUGUGCACUGGGUCAGCCAAGCUGCUCAAGCAAGUAGUUGAGCAUGCACCAGGUUAGGCAGGCUGCUCAAGCAGGCAGCUGAGCAGGUCAUCCAAGCACCUGGUCCACCAAAAAAAUGAUUGCUUGGCCUAGAAGAAUGGGUAUCUCAUGAAUGAUGUUACAAGCCAAGCAACUAGUCAAAGCUAGCUUCUAAGCAAGUUUAUGACCUCAUGCAUGACACAAGCAAGUAGGAGGUGUCACCAUGCAUGUAGCUUAGCCUACAAUAGGCUAUCCAAGCUAGCUACCAUGGGUCAGACAUAGGGGUCAGGUAUCCCUCUCAUUGCCUAUAAAAGGUACGCCCAUUUCUUCACUUUUAGAACAUUGUACAUACCAUUUUUCUUCUCAUUUUCGGUUCUCUCUCAAUUUAGGUUGUUCUUAGGUGUUUUAGUUCAUAGAAAUUCAGAGGGAAUGAAGUUGAAAAAUGAGUUGCAAAAACAUGAUUUUGUGACCUCAUUUGGAAUCAAAAGCAUCUAAUCUUUGGAUGUAUGGCUAAUGCUCCAAAAAGUUGGAUUAUGGUGUAAUUUUCUUGUACUCUUCAUCUUCUUUAUUUAUGAUAGUUAUUUCUUUUGUUACUUUGAUUCUUUAAGAAGUUCUUAAUGCGGUUUUAGCUUGGUCACCUAAAGCUUGAUUUAAAGAUCCAAAAGAAUGUUUCUUCUUAAAGUAUUGACAAUUGAACUAAAAAUUAUAACCUACACCUUAGUUCAUCUGCCAUAUCAAAGCAUCUAUUUUAAGCAACUUAUGUUUAAGGCUAAAUAAUGUUAACUGAUCCUGAAGUAGGGUGUGACAACCUACUCCGACGAAUGGUGUAUGGAAUCAACCAAUGGUGUAUGGAAUACUAGGAAACUAGAUGAGGGAUUUAGACAUGGUGUAUGGAAUCAACCAAUGGCUAACACAUAACUAGUAUAAUUUUCAUAUUGAUGUUGUUCAAGAAAUUAUUCUAUCGUUCCAACUAUAUUCUCCUCUUGAAUUUGUAAAUAGUUAACUUUUUUACUUUUUCUUGUUUCUUAUUUGAUAAAAUCACCAAAACAACUUUAUGUGUUACUUUCUUACUUUUGAAAAAAGAUACAAAGAAUGAGUACAUUUCUAUUAGGCAAUUUAUUGUGGUUCGACAUAACCCUAUACUAUACUAUACUACAAUUGAAUCUUGAAAGAGAUGCAAGUGUAAAAUAGUAAAGUGUUAACUUAUAGAUACUAUUUGUUGAUUAAAGAUUCCUAAAAACAUAAGUUCAAACCAAUUCAUGGUUUGUAACUUUGUACAUAUGAAUAAUAUGCAAAAAGUGCAAUCCAAUCAAUGGAUUGUUACUUAAAUGAUAAAAAAGUGAUGAAUAAUAAAUGAUAUGAUUAACUUAAUAAAAGGAGACCGACCUUUAUGGUAUGGUUAAAGGAACCCGAUAAGGGACAACUCGAAUUAACCUUGCAGUCAUUAAAUAAAUAAAUUGGGCAUCAUUCAUCACUCAAAAUUAAGUAAAUAAACUUGCAACAACUCGAAUUAACCUUUCAACAAAGUGACACGUUUUGUUGUUGAGGGGGGAAUUCUUGUUGUGGAAAUCUGCUUCUCAACACACGCUCAUUACUUUGCAAACUCAAGCAACAUACAUGGUCAUUAUUGAUCCCCAAAAUUAUGUUCAUUUGCUUUAGACUCUAUUAGAAUGGUUUUCACCUUUAAGCUGGUGGCAAGCAAGAUUGAAUGAUGCUCUAGAAAAUGCUAGAGCAAGAAAAUAUCCUGCAAAACACUUCCAAAAACUCAGGACCAAUCGUCCAUAGGUCCUACUCACAACACCAUGUUACCAGUCUUCUGUGUUCUAGAAAUCAGGCUUAUGUUUGGGACAAUUUUUAUGCAUAUCCUUUGGUAGAAAAUUAUCGGAAGGAACUUGAGAAGCAUUUAAAUGAGGUAAACUUUUAUGAAUAUGUGUCAAAUAGUUAUAUGAGCACCUACAUUAGCCAUUGUGAUAAUCUUGCCAACUUCCAAAGGAGCAAAUGAAUAGUACAAGUAAAUAACUCGUUCUACCAAAGAAUGAGUGAAGCAAGUUCCUUCAGAAAAAAUGAAAUUAGAAUCAACCAAUCUGCAAUACAGACUCAAUAAUGGAACCAGUGGACCAAGAUGUUCAAGGCCAUAAUGGAUAUAUUGCUGGUAAAAAACUCCAUUAUGAAGAGGCAAGACCACAAUGAUGGUACACCAUGUAUGGAAGUAUAGACUCUGAAGAAUGGCAUUAUUAUAAUCUUUCUCUGGGUCAAAAUUCAAAAUAAGAAAGAAUCUUCCAGAAAUCAUCCAAAGUAAGAAUAAAAUAAGGUGUGAUGUGGUGUAAGAUAAAGUAUAACAUAACAUAAAGUGUGAUGAGUUGUAGAAUAAAAUAAAGCGUGAUCUCAAAUAAAUUAUUAUGUAAGAUAAGGUGUGAUGAGUUGUAAGGUAGAGAAUGAUGUAUUGUAAGAUAAGGUAUGAUAUUGUAAGAUAAAGUGUGGUGAGUUAUUCUCGUAGUAAGGAUAGAGGUCUACUUUCUUUUAUAAAUAUGGAAGCUUAAACCAUAUUAUACUCAGAACAACAAGAAGAAAUAAAACUUGUGUUUUAUCAUAUUCAUGUAUUCCUUAUAAGUUUUUCAUCUUUCUGAAAGCCAUAGCUAUAAUGUUUAUACCAUAACUCUUUACAUAGAUGUUAGUAUGCUCUACACUUACCUCCAUGAGAAUAUUAUGCACCAGAAAAAUGCCUGACUUUAGAUCCAUGCUACAAUCCUGCCUAUCAUAGUAGCAUACUAGAUAAGAUUAUCUGGACCUUGAGACAUAUAGAGGCCAACGGUUGGCUCACUCAAGUAUCGGUUGGUGAAAAUUAUCAGUGUGUUAUUACGAUAGGAGACUCCCAACAAGUAGAGGUGUGUCAAAAUGAGCUACUCGGAUGGGUUCGGACAAGCCCACAUCAGGUUCGGCUAAAUCGGGAUACGCUAAAAAGUCCAUAUACAAUUUAUGCAUAUCAAAUUGUAGUCCAAACCCGCCCUAAGCGGGUUGUGGGUUGUGGCAGAUCAGCCCGCAUAAACUAAAAAAUAUAUAUUUAAAUUUUAACAUGUUUAAUCUAUUUCAGAAAUAUAUAUCAUUUGAUAUUAAUGUAUAACUUUUUUAACACAUUUUUUAUGCCAAAUGCAAUUAAACUUAGAGAUCUAAUGCAUUGUGUUGAGUUAAGACGUAAUGUCAAUUCCACGUAUAUGAUUUUUAACAUAACUCAUAUGUUAAAUUUCUAAUUUCUAUUGGACUCUCACUCCUAACACAAUAUAAUUUGUAACUUCAAUUUAAUAUAUAAACAUUUGGACACUAUAAAAAAUAUUAUCUUUUGUAUGCUCUUUACCAAGACUUUCAUUGUGAACUAUUAUAUUAAAUUUCAUUGUGAUGAUUUCUCUAUGGUAAACAAUUAUGUUGUCUUUUAUUUUUAUUGUAAAUGUUAUUUUCUUUAUUAUAUUUUUGUUGUAGAAGUUAAAUCUAAUUAAAUACACAAUUAAGAAAGGAAAAUUAAAAUCUAUAUGGUUUAAUAUCUUGUCAUUUGAUUGAUAUAUUAUUUUGUUACUAGGCUUAAAAGGAUAUUCCAAAAAAUAGGAAAAAUAAUAUAAUGCUUAACUUUAUAACAUUAUUGUAAUUUAUAAAUAUAUAUGUUUAGACAUUAUUCUAUUUUUUAUUCAAAGUUCAUAACACAAUAUUUAUUAUCUAUUUUUUAUUAUAAAUUAUUGUGUAAAUUUUCAUCUAAUGCUUAUUACCAAUCCAAAAGUCCCAAAAAAGAUAAAAAAUAAUAAUAAGGAAAACAGGUGGUUCGGACCUGCCCGAGUAAGCUCGGCCCGAUCCCAGUUUUAAUAUAGUCGGGUCGGGCCGGACUAAAAAGCUCAGAUUCAAUAAAAAGUGUCUGAUAUGAUACUCAAGCCCUAUCUAUUUGGCUUGGAAUCAAUAUUCAUUUUUUGAGACGAAAUCACUUCUUCUUCUGGGAUUCAUAGAAUGCAUUAGUUUGUACCCUCGAUGAAGAAGAGUUAACCAUAAACAUAUCUAUGACAUUGGUCAUCUCCAUUUCAGAAUCAUAUAUAGGAAGAAACUAUCACUUCAUCACUUGACUUUUUAGUUUUUGAACAUUGGAUGAUAACCUUGGUUUUGUCUCCUGUUUAAAAGAUUUUUCCAUGGAGGCUAUCGCUUGGAAAGGUUAGACUUCUAUUGGUUGAAUAAAAGGUUCAUGGUUGGGCAGCGAGUAUGAGAAGGAACCACUUAUCUUGGAUGUUUUUUUCUCUCUGUACACACAUCCUUUGAGACUUUGGUCUAUAGGAAGUUGGAAAAGUGUAUGGUGGAUUAUUAUAUGAGGUUGAUGGAAAAAUGGAUGGAGCCUUAAUGGUAGGAGAGUAGUAUCUUGGAAAAACAUGAGUGUUGAGAAAUGGAUGAGCUUCAGGUUCUAUGCUUUAAGCUACCAUAUGGGUAUUGAUAUAGUCAUCCAUAUCUCUCACCUGAGAGUGAAGGUGUUUGAUUUCUCUUUCUUUCAGAUCAAAAUCUUCGCAAAAACAUGUUAUGGCCUCUAACAUUUCUCUUAUUCCACCCUCAAGUUGAGUGAUUUGUGAUUGAAGAGUCUUGUAAUACCUCUGCAUCUUGGAUGAUAAAUAUUGGAGCUUUUGGUUCGUCUGUUCAAUAAUGUUAGUUAUUCUGCUCAAUUUGCCAAUUUAGUACUUCUUUAGCUUGACGUAGAGGCUUAAGCUUUCCAUUAGCUUGGACUUCUAUUGGUUGAAUAAAAGGUUUUGUAGAGAGUUUCGAGACUGGGUUUUUUCUUUCUCUCAAGGGGAGGGAAACUCUCUAUCAUAUUGAGGAUAUGAAGAAGAAAACAUCAUACAUGGAAUGAGUUAAGGAACAACGAUCAAUGAUCGUGGCUUAGAUUUCCGAUAUGCAUCGCACAUGCAAACAAAGGCAGGUCUUUAGAGUGAUUUUAGAUGUUAUAGAUUAUUUGGUAGUGCAAGCUUACAGAUAAAGCCUAUGGAACUUGAUCCACUCCUAUGAGUUGGACUUGAAUGUUUACUCUAGUAGACAAAGUGAGAUCUUUCAUACUGGCAUUGAAGUUUAGGAAAAUAGUUAACACAACAAUUCCAACAUUUAGAGUGUAGGAUCAAACAAAAUCAUCUUCUAGACUUGGGAUUAUGUUUUCUUUAUCUUAAAAAAUCUUAGUAAACUUUAUUCGAUCAAAAACAAUAAAAAUGUAUAAUAAGUCAUAAACUUUAAUGAGAUUAUUCUGUGGCUCACACAGGGCGAUUAUAAUGAAAUUAGAAUUUCAUUUUUAAGACAUUACUAAGAUUAAUACCCCUGUAACUUAGUAGUAGAGACUCGACAAAAUGUGUAAUUAUAAGAUCAUAAGGUCAUAGGUUAGAGUUGCGUGAAACUCCCUCUAGGGGAUAUAAUAUUGUUAAUAGUAUUUAAGCUUAUAGGUUACAUGCUUAAUAAAAUUAUGUGUCUAGAUAAAUCAUAGGUUAAGGUUGAGGUGUUACCCUUAAACCAAUUUGGCCUUUUUUGAUCUUUCUGAUAGCCAAUGAAUUUAUUCUGCAUUUUUUCCUCUGACAAAUUUGGCAAGGUUAAUAAUGAGUCUUUUAACUUUCUUUUGAAGUUUUUCAACUUCUUCAAAUUGUUGUGUCUUGCUUAUGACCUUUAGCUUUACUUUUUCUUCAUGCUUUCUUGACAGAGCUAUGAAUAAUUCUUAGAGAAUUUGAAAUGCCUUGCAAAGGCUACCAGGUUCAUCCAAGAGAUCAUUUUUUUCUCUAAAUUGAAUGACAUUUAUUUACCUCAUUGAUAUGACAUUGGUAUUGUUGACAUAUAUGCCUCUCACCUCUAUAAGCCAUUGAAUUGCUGGCCAUAUUUGUUUCCUUACAUGUUUAAGUUUUGCAUGAGCACAUUGGGGAGUCUACAGUACUUUUUGGCCAAGAAAUAAUCAUGAUUUGAAGGAAGAAUUUGUCAUGGUGGUUGCAUCUCGUGCUUGUUGCAUGUAUUCACAAAAUAUUUGUUAAGCUUUCAUAUUUGUUACUUCCUUACUUCUUAAGUAUAUAUAAAGUGCCUUUAUAGAAUUCACCUGCAAGAGUAUUCUGAGAGAGGAUUUGUAAGAGAAAAUAAGGGAGGAUCAACAUUCUACUCCGCUGCCAUCCGAUUGGUUGGGUUCGUGUUCGGGUCGGGCUUGGGCUUAGGAUUAACAUUCAUUUUUAAAAUAAAUUUUAUUUAUUUAAUUUUAUUUUGGACUUUUGGACCGUGUAAUGACCAAGUCAACACACACGUGCCAUACGUGUGUGACUCAAUCGACAUGGUUGGCAAGUGAAGGGAGUGUGGCAAAAGACUCGAUCAUAAUAAAGGAGGAUCCGAGUGGUAAAAUUUUCUAUCGUCAGAUCAUGAGAUUUACCAACCACUGUAUCCGUUGAAUGAGGGAGACGUUGGAGGCCUCAAGCUAAAUGGAUCAUGGGAUUUCUCAAUGAUAUGCAUAUGGAUUGGUUCCAGGUUUUCUUUAAAAUUUUGUUUUUUGAGCACCAUAGUUUGAGUGAGGAACGUACAUUCCACAUGGGAUUGCAUGGUAGUGGUUUCAGUGACACAAGAGGGACCCGCUACUCCAUUGAAAAUUUCAGUAUUUAAUUCUUUAAUUUGAAUAUAAUUAUUAAUUGGAGUAUGUGUGCCAUUUUUCCUGCAACUAGCUUUCAUUUACAUCCUCAACAAUUGUCAUAAGUUUCUCUCCGACCAGGUUACAUUUGUACCUAGUAGGUGGUGUUUGUUUCUGAUCUGGCACAUUGUCUUUAAAGGACACGCCUUCAUUCACAAGAAUUGUGUUAUUUUUAGUCCCAUCAGGUGGGUUUUUUUUUGGUGCCUGUGUAAGUUCAUUCUUUUUAGCAUGAGAACAUCUUCUGUCCCAAAAGAAUAUAUCACUCUAUAUGUCACUGUUUAUAAUUGGUCAAAAAAUACUGAAGUAUUAAAAUUUUAAUUUAAAUACGUUUCUUCAAUCAAUCACAAUCAAUAGUACAUAUGGUGGCACACUAUAUGGAGCAACAAAUGUGCUCCCCUCGCCUUUUUGGCAGAGCAAAUGCACCAACCUUUUGACAGCUAAAAGGAGUUAUUUCUUUAACCACAGGUAAUGCAAAAACUAAAAUCCAAACAAGGAAAGGACAUGCCAUUCACACUGUUUUGAAGUUUCUUUAAUUUUUAUCCAAUAUCACCCAAAUGCAAACAUACCUUGGAAUUAACCAGAUCAUUCCAGUUGUAAAAAUAGUUCUUGACUUUACAUGGGCUUUCUAAUUAUAGGGUAACCAAAUAGAAGGUGGAAGAUGCACCAACAGUUUCAAUACAUAUUAAUAUUGGUUCCAUACUUCCAUGGCAAUUGUUGCAGCAACAUUUUCAGUACGUAAUAAUAUUUGUUCUAUGGCAACUGUUCACUACAUAGCAGCAGCAUUCUUCAGCGUGCCUCAUACUGGACAACUGCAUAAAAACAAUAAAAAGUAUAAAGCAUUGCAAAUAAAUAGCUAAAGGGUAGCAGAAAAUAAAUGAACACUUUAAGCAAGGAUUAAAAGUCACAGUUUAACAUGGUGCUUUACUAAUUUAUCACUUUUUAGUGACCCAGACAUAAAAAGAUGAAAAUUGAACACAUCAUCAUGCUAUAAUUAUUGAUAAAAUCUCAUAUUUCCUUCGCUAGUUUAUUGGUUUUAGUUGUUCUCCUAGGGUUUAUUUGUAAGUUGGGAUUUGAAGGGAAGGAAGGGAAAGGAAAGACUUCAGAACUAUCUCACAAUCUUGCGAUUGAGAAUUCAGUUUUGGAGGGGAAGGAAGGGAAGGAAAACACUUCAAAAUCAUCUCACAAGUAUAAUUCAUGACUUUCAAGCCUUUCUUUCCCUUCCAAAAUCUAACUCAGACAUUAUUGUCUUUCGAGACAUAUUUAAACAUACAACAUUAAACAUAUAAUAAAUAAUCUGCUAGAGAAAUUGAAUUUGCAUGUGGGACAAUUAAGUUGAGAAAGAAUUUUAAAAAAAUAAAUCACGGACAAUAUCUAGUUAUUCAUUUGACUGCAAAUUUGGUCUAGUCAUUUAGUCCAAAAUACAAAAGAUUAUCAACAUUUACCUAAUCGUAUGCUAUGACUGAUUAUACCACUGAUGUUUACCUGACUCUAUAUCAGACAUGACUAAAUGCUUCAACUGAAGAAAACUAAGAUGCCUUGAACAAAAUGAACCAAUCACUACCUCUAAUUACCAAAACAAUUGGUGAACUAUCAUCUCUUUUCAACAGUCAGGCACACCAAUAAGGUUGUUUUGCCUUCUAAUCUAAAGGUCAUGGGCUCAACUCCUGGAAUCAGCAUGACUACUUACAGGGGUAAGAUUGCAAAUGAAAACCCUCCCCAAAAACCACUAUGUUGGAGCAUCGGCUGUCGUGCAGUAGGUUGCCCUUCAUGUAUUUAUAUCUUGUGUGGAUCUUAAGCAAAGUUUAUAGAAUAGGUAAAAAAAAAUAGAAUACAAAACUAGCGAUAUGAGAAUGGAAAGCAUACAAUUAAGAGUUUUCUUGGAUUGGUUACCCAUUAAAUCCAGACCAAACUAGACCAUAUUAUGUAGUUUGUUUUUUCAAACCAGACUAAACCAGUUUGCAUAAUGAAACACAUCACCGGUUCAAAACCAAUUUGUUAUAAAAUAGGUUAUGAACCAAUUCAUGUCCAAAACCAGAUUUUUUUCAUGGAAUUGGUUUGGAAACUGGAUUUUAAACAAGUUUUUGAAUCCAAUUUUCACAAAAACCAGUUUUGAAACUGGAUUUUUACUAGUUUAGGAAUCCAAGUUUAAAAUCCGGUUUUCACAAAAAAACAGUUUUGAAAAUGGAUUUUUACUAGUUUAGGAAUCCAAGUUUAAAAUCCGGUUUUCACAAAAAAACAGUUUUGAAACUGGAUUUUUUUACUAGUAACAGAAUCCAAGUUUCACAGAUCCAACAGUGGAGAUUAUUUUAAACUGGAUUCAGGGUAUGGUAAAAUGUAUUUGGAGUGCACAAGGUCUCAUUUCAAUUCAAUGUGGGAUUUCAGUUACACAUAUUAGAAGUGAACUCCCCAUGUGAAGUUAUUACCUUGUCUCUCUCUAAGGUCUCUAUCCCCUGUUGUUCUUUUCCUCCAUCGUUUCUUUUUUCUUUGGAUUUCCAUAGCCUUCAUUUAUGGUUUCAUACCCCAAAACCACUGGUGAUGGUGUUGUUGUUAUCUAUGAAGCACGGAUACGAAUACGUGUGUCGGAUACGAAUACGUGUGUCGGAUACGAUACGUAUCCGAUAUGUUGACACAUUUUUUCUAAAAUAUAGGAUACGAUACGUUCAUGGAUACGCGUAUAAAAUAAUAAAAAAUAUAUAUAAAAUAUGAUAAAAUUAUAAGUAUAAAUCAAAAUAUCCAAAGUAAAAUAAGUUGUGGAUCGCAGAGUACCGGCUAUCAGAGGAUAAAUGCAGUGUGACGGUAUGUUGGUGUAAGUCUUUGUGGCCUUUAAAUAAGUUGGUGUUUAUUGAAAACGAAUCUAUCUUAUCCUAUUUUAUUGAAAACGAAUCUAUCUUAUCAUAUUUUAUUGAAAACGUAUCUAUAUAUCCUAUAUUUUAUUGAAAAUGAAUCUAUAUAUCCUAUAUUUUAUUGAAGACGUAUCUGAUACGUGUCUUGAUAUUUUUUUAUUUUUUUAUUUUUUGGAUACUCUGCAAAUACAUAUCCUUCGCGAAUUUGAGCGUAUCCGUGUCGGAUAUGUGUCCGACACGCGAGGGUGUUUGACGAAUCCGUGCUUCAGAGGUUGUUAUCACCAAUGAUGAUGAUGAUGUCGUAGGCACCGCAUAAUGUCUGUGCCCAAUGGUUCAACAUAAAAUGGUCUAAACCAACAAAUAUGAAAGACAAGGUGGACCUAUAAAACUAAUUUUAGCUCUAAGAUGCACUAUCGAUGCGACAGAGAAAUUUGACGCACUUGAGGCUCGUGACAAGUCCAAGAACAUAGUUUGGGAUAGAAGGUGUUGUUCAGCUAUAAAGGGCUUGGAACAGUGCCAUCCUGUGACUGAAUGUUUGGAAGGGCGAAUUGGGCCUUUUGAGAGUUGAUUUGAGCCAACGGGAUUUUAUAAAAUAGUUUCAAUAUCUGAAUUUGUUUAUAAAAUCUGGAUUUUGAAUAGUUUAGCUCAAUUUAAAGAUGGAUUAUUUACUCGAACUGGAUUAUUUGAACACCCCAACAUAUAAUUUUGAAAUCAAAACCUAGUAAGGCCUUACCAUUUCCACAAGAAUCACAGACUUAUCAGAGAAACAACCAAUGUAUGAAAAUGAUUUAUAAUAAAGGAAAAAUUUGUCAACAUGCUUGGGUUGACUCCUAGGUGAGACUCAUAGAAAACAACAAUUUCAAACAGUCAAUAACUAAGGAGUUGUCAGAUGGUGAUUUUUAUACGAACACUUGAAUACUAAAAUUAACAGAGGCGAUGAAAAGAAAAAAUUAUCAUGUUACUUAUUCUACAUUGAGACAACUAUUUUUGUUCAAAAGAGGCUUAUACACAAAUGCUAUGUUAGAGGUCAAUUAUUGUUUACCAUAAAGGAGCCUGAAUAUAGUACUCUAGUCCCAUCUUUUACACAUUCGUGAUUUUUCACUUUUAAUAAUCUUUAGAAAGUUUUCACAGACAAAGACUCUUUCGGUUCAAAUAGUAACUCAAAUCAAUUCUCUCAAGCUUUUACAAGUAAUCCAACUAUAAAGAUAUAAAACCUAGUCUUAUACUAUACCGAUACUAGUAAGUAGUAACUACAACACAAUCAGGGACUUGCUUUAAAUUCAUGCUCUUUUCUAAAGAUAUUACUAAAGUUCAACUAUAAUAAAAAGGGGGAACCCAACGAGAGCGAAAACUAGCCACACAAAUCUAAAUUAACAACUUAACAAAGAGUCUUACUUAUAAGAAACCAACUAAAUUACUUCACCCACUUCACCAGAUUUAAAACAUAGGUACACGAUGACUACAGCUGAUAUGUCAAAAUUGGGAGUUGCCGAAACUAUACCGCAAACCCAAAUGCCCGCAAUAGUCGGAUAUGCAAGGUUUUAUAAGUUGCUGAAACCUCUAUUUAAAACCUUGUAAUCGACAACUAAAAUUAAUAACUUUGGCCAUGCCCAGUAUUCAUACACUUAAUGCAGUGCUAAUAACAGACAUACAUUACCAAUAACACAAUGGUCGAGCAUUAACAUAGAACAAUGGUAUAGUUCUUGAAUGCGAAUGAAAAAACAAAAAAAGUAACAAAAACAAUUAGGUCAUUCAAUUAAGUCAAACUGUGAAGCUUACUUCGACGAGUGCGCUUCUUGUAAAGGAUUCGGUAACCACACUCACGGCACUGUAUAACAUCACCAGGUUUCAGAGUAUUCUCCAUUCCACAAUCUGUACAAAUACACGCAAAAUCAAACUUUUCUUUCAAAAACUAAAAACACUUACAUACAUGCGCGAAGAAACACACAUAAAAGAGGUAUGAAUUUGUGUAUUAGGUGAUGGGAUUGAAGAACAAACCUCCGCAGAUGUAACUGACUGGCUCAGGUUGAGGAUCCAUUGCAAAGUUUAGAGGUUUAGGGUUUUUCGCUGAUUUCUAAGAUUCAAAUUUGACGAGGUUUGGUAUUUAUAUAUAAUGGUUAGGGGCUUGACUUAUUCUUCCCAGGCCCAAUUGUCCUUUCAACUUUUAAUAAGGGAACUAUAGUAUGUUGUCACAUUUUUCAAGGUUCAUAUGUGUCAUGAUCACCACGUGUAAUUAAUUUAAAAAUAUAUUUAAAUUAAAAAUUUAAUUAUAAAGUAAUUUUUUAAACAAUCACAUCAUAGUUACACUUCCCAUUUUUAGUGACAAAUGACUAACCCAUUUACAUACUAUUUUUUUAAUUAUUUAUCACUUUUGCAAAACUCUCAUAUUCUUAUAUAUUUUUAGGAAGUAAAUAGGUUAUCCCAUAAUUUAUUUCACUUUAUAUAUUAUUAGUUGUAAUUGAUUAAAAAAUGUAUUUAAGUUAAAAGAUUAAUUAUUAAAUAUUUUUCAAACUAAAAUGAUACAUAGAAUGAUAUAAAUUAUAGGAUAGAAGAUAUGCUCCCAUAUUUUUAUGGCUUCCUUCCACUUUUCUACCUCACACUCCACUCAAACUAUUAACCCAUUAAUGUUUAUCUUCUUCAAAUGUGUGCAUGUUUUCCACUUCCUACUUCAUCUCAUAUAAGGAUUAUUACAUGACAAAAAAAUGUGAAGAAAAAAAUAUUCACAUGCAACUUUCAUUAUGGGUAAAAAGUUAAUAUUUUAAACAAACACGUACUCUCCCUUACAUGCACCUUUGGAAGGUUACCUGCGUGUUAAAAACCCAUAAAAACAAACACAUGAGGAAGGUUAUGUGUUGUUACUUGCCGGGGUUUGUUCUCAUCAUCACAAAGCUUUACUAUAUAUGUUGUGGAAAAAAUGAAAUUUAUAAACAAUACAAACCUUCAAUGAAGUACAACGUCCUAGAAGGGUGCUUUUGUGGUAGGUUAACACUAUAAGAAUUUCUUGGUAGGCUAACACUAGAAGAAUUUUAUAAAGUGGAGAUGUAGUCAAUGAAUGGUGUGAUGUUCGAAUAUGUUUUGUGUAAACUAGGAGAGUCUUUCAACGCACAUUUUUACUCCACUAGACUUCAUGGCCUUUUUUCUUUUUUAAGAACUUAUUCAAUUUCUUUAUUAAAAGAUUCCAUUUUUUAUAUUGUUUUAUUUUGAGUCUUCAUCCGAGUCAAUAUUUGCUACCAAAGAAAUGGUUUUGCAUUUCAUUUCAAAUUCUUCAUAUUGCUCUAAUGGGUUAAAUUCUAAUUCAUGUUAUUACAAUUUUUCAAAAAGUGUGGUCACAAAUAUUUUUGAUAGAUUUUUCUUUUCAGAAAUUGUUGUCACUUUUGAUUGUUAUUUUCUCGUUAGUGAUCUAAAAACUUUUAUAUUUAACUCACUAUUAGAGAACGUUUUACGAAGGGUGAUUAAAUGAUUUUUUAAGUGAGUGAACCUCUUUUACAAGUCUAGAAUUUUCUCUUCAAGUUUCAUUAUGAACAUUUCAUUCUCUUUGGAAAAGGUAUUUAGUUUAGACAUUUUUACUUCUUUAUUUCCAUCAUGAGUUGUUUCUAGAAUGUCCCACAUUUCUUAAGUUGAUUUGCAAUUUGAUAUUCUAAAGAACUCAUCUAUUACUAGGGCACAUGUGAAAAUAUUUUUUACGUUAAGGUCAUAUUGUACUCUCUUCUUAUCAUCAAAACAGAAAGUGACAUCGUUGAAUACUUGAAGUCAUUGAACACGAUAAUUUGAUAAGACAAAUUUAGUCAUUGGAUAUGUUUGAUAUAAAUGAAAUAACUUAAGUGAUAACAAUUCUUAUUGUGAGAAAUGAGUAUAAUUAAUAUGAAACAAAAUUAUUGUUUUAAAAACUAUGGGAAAUGUAGGAUAAUUUCCCAUGCCAUUGACUAGAUUAGAAGCUAACUAGCCUGAUUUACUCAUCACCUCACCAGGAGUUCAUGAGAAUGUUCAACUAAGAAUAAAGUAAACCAUUACCAACUCUGCUUCAUAAUUUUCAAAGCUGGUAUAAACGGUAUAAUUAUUUAGCUCCAUUACUCUCUACAUACAUGAACAACUAGGAUCAUCAUUCCAUGAAAACAAUUGUUACUAGUGUUAUUAAUACCAUAUCAAUCAUCAAAUCAUUUAGAGUAUUGAUAGUGGUAUUACAAUUCAACUAGUGGUUUACUAAUUAACAUUAAUUUUAAAUAUAAACCAGCCGGUAUAACCGGUACGAUUCAAUUGAAAACCGGUCAGUAUAACCAGUAUGAUUGCAUAACCAAUAUAAUUAUUGUAUCGUACUGAUACUGAGACCGAUUCACCGGUUGAACCAACCGGCCCGAACCGGUUUUUACAACACUAUUAUUAACAUUAUACCGAUCAUCAAACUAGUCAAAGUGUUGAUAUAGUGGUAUAAUGAUUCAACCAGUAAUUCAUUAAUUAAAUCGCAUAUCGGUAAAGUUAGAUAUACAUAUAUAAUACUAAAUAUUAACAUUGAAAAUAAAUUCUUUUGUUUAUAACAUUUAUUAAAACAAAAUAUGUCACUUAGUGAUAAGUCAUAUUUUAAGGUACAAUCAAAUGUAAUAAUUAUGUGUUUGAUCCUCUAUACCAACAUUUUGGUAAAAAUUAAGUUAUUUUCAUUAAAAAUUUAACUUUAAAUGAAAAUCGGUCAGUAUAACCGAUAUAGUUCAAUUGAAAACCGACUAAUAUGACUGAUUUUGUCCAGUAUAACUAGUUUUGAUCAGUAUGAUUAUACGACCGAUUAGUACGGUCUAGUUUUCACAAGUAGUUAAUCCUAAAAAAAGGGUGCAUUACUUCAGUGAAUGAUAAUAAGAGGGGGGAAAUUCACAAUAACCCCGCAUCAGUAAGUUCCCAGUCAGUGUUUCGAGACUCAUUGGUUAUUAUUUUUUUGCCUCAUUUGGGAACGCUGGGGAAAACCCCUUUUCCAACUCCAAUAAACUGAAAUCAAAUCACCUUAAAGGACUGAAAGAUGAUAAACUCUAGUACAGAAAGACACACAAAGAAAAGUUGCUAAUUUACUUAAAUCUGGUGUUUUGGAUAAGCUUCAUUCUUUUUGGCUGAGUACACAUCACCAUCUUUGGGCAGAUUGUUUGAAGGGCUAGCUGCAAAAUUAACAGAACAAAGAACAGUGAGUCAAAGCACACAACAUUUUAUUUAUUAGGAAGGCCAGACCUUCAUAGAAGUAGGACAGGUAGAAAAUAUUGAAGAAUAAGCCAAACUGCAAUAGAACUAAAAGAUUACAACAACCAAUCAGAAUCUAAGCCUUACUCCUAUUAGGUAGGGUCAAAUAGAUGAAUGGAAAGGUACUAUAAUACUUUUUCAUAAAUUAUAUCAAUUGACAAAGCAUUGAUCUAUAAAUUUUUCCUAAUUAUUUUGCCUAUUCUUGGCCUUCUUCUACCUCUAGAAAUUGGACUAACCUCUAUUUGAUCUACUCUUCUUAUUGGAGCUUCUAUCGAUCUCCUCAACAUAUGUUCAAAUCACCCAAUACGUGAUUCUACGAUAAUUUUUACAAUAGGAGUUGCAGCAAAUUUCUCCCUAAUGUAUUCAUUCCUACUUCUAUCUUGUUUAAUGUGUCUACUCUUCCGACACAACAUUCUCAUACUUGCUGCAUUGAGUAUAUUAUAUUUUGACAUUUUACCAUCCGACACUAAGUCUAAUAUAACAUUGCAGGUCUUAUAGUUGUGCAGUCAAAUUUUCCUAUAAGCAUGAGUAGCACCUUUCUAUCACAUAUGACACCUGAAAUGCUCUACCAUUUCAUCCGCCUUGCUCGAAUCAUAUGGUUUACAUCUCCCUCAAUUUUCCCAUCGUGUUGUAUGAUUGUCCGCCUCAUGCUAAACUUACACUCCAUUUUACAUCGACUUCUACAACAGUCAUGUGCUUGUAAAGCUUGUCUCCACAUUUCUAAUUUCCUAUUUAAUUUUUCUCUCGAGUCUUCAUGUAGGACAAUAUUGUCUGCAAAAUAAACAUGGAUUGUGACGUCGAUUCUUGGAUAUGCUCAGUAAGCACAUCUAAGACCAAGGUAAAUAGUUAGGGGCACAACGUUGACUAUUGGUGUAGUCCUAUAGGAAUAGGGAAAUCUUAUGAGAAUUCAUCUUGUGUUCUCACAUCGGUCUUGAUCCUAUCAAAUAUAUCAUUGAUUGCUGGAAUUUAGGCAAUCCAAAUUCCUCUCUUCUCUAGAGCAUUCCACAAUAUCUCUGCGCACUUUAUCACAAGCCUUCUCCAAAUAUCAGUGCUUGAACAUCUUAGUUUUCUUGCUUCAACAAUUAUUACAGUUCCAAAAUCCAGAGUUACUUUUUUCAGGUAGGAAAUUAGAAGUGCAGUUUAUAUGAAUUACUAGAUUUUAUCAUAUGAUCAGAUUACAAAUCAUGCAAUUGUGGGUACCCUAAUUGAAAUCACAGUUGGUAACAGCAAUGCUACUUAUUUGCACUUUUUUUUCCCCGAAGAGGACCACUUCAGACUGGGUGUGGGGUAAAACAUUUCAAUCAAGACGCCAACAAACUAACAUCAUAGAAAAUGCGUAUACUCCAGCAUGUCCAAUUUCCGUCCGUAACAAAAUAAAUAAACUCACAACUAAAGUAAAUGUAUCCCUCAACACUUAGCAGCAAUAUAUAGAAGGCCUUAAAGGGUGGAGGAGAUUGAAAAAUCUUAGAAAUUCUCCCCAUGGAUAAGGAGUAGCUCAAACCACCACUAUAUAUUGGGGGGGAAUUUAGAUUGCUUAUACAUGAGAAACUAAUAAUUACAUAUGUAUUAUUUACAAAGCAUUUCUAAUAAGUCAAUGUCCUCCCUCUUUUCUUUCUUCUCCGAAAUCAAGUUUCCAGCAAUGUGCUACAACAUAUAGGCUACUUCAAAAGAAUUUUACAAAAUUCAGCUGAGUGAGUGAAACAGACAAUCUUGGGUACAGUAAGAGAGAAAACUUCAGAUAAAAUGGAUAAAACAUACAUGGAGGUGGGGCUGGGUGUUUCUUCGCCACAUCUUUUUUAGCCUUAGAUGAACUGCCCUUGCCAGGCUUUGCUAAACCCUGUCCAAGUAAAAUUGUGCUAAUGUAAUAUGUCAUAUAAAAGUACUAGUAGGUAUACAGGACAUGAGUCAAUUUUGCACAAUAUAUAAUCUAGAAACUGCCAUCAAUGUCAAAUCUUAACUUUUUUUUUGGGGGUGUUCCAUAGUGAAAAUUGGAGAUCACACCAUACUACAAGCCACACGGUCAGGUAUCAUGGAUCUAUUAUAGACAGUGAUGGAGAAAUAAAGGGAGAUGUAAACCAUAAGAUUCAUGCAUAAUGGAUGAAAUAGAGAAGUGUUUUGGGGUGUUUAUUCCGACGAAAGGUGCCUCUGAAGCUUAAAGGAAAUUUUUUACCACAUAGCUAUAAGACCGGUGGUGCUUCAUGGUAAAGCAAAUCGGGCUUAAGCAGACAACAAGAGCAUAAGAUCAAGUAUUACAAAGAUGAAGAUUUUGCAUUUGAUGACUGGACAAAUGAGACAAGAUAUGUUUAGAAAUGUAACAAAUUUGGAGAGGAAAAAUCAAAAUUCUCAUUCAUCCAAGUUAUACAGAAAGGUUGUAUGAAGCUGCUAAUUACACUUGAGUCAAGACUCAAUAUCAACCGCAGUGGUCAACACUAACUAUCACCAAUUUUGUUACAAACUAACUAAUUAACUUAAGUUAGCUACUUGGUGAAAGAUCUCAAGUAAGAUCAGGAUUCAAGUGCUGAAUAGAGUCACCAAUAUGAGCUCAGUCUCUAGCUAAGAAAAACACCAGAUGCAGAUCUAGUGAUAACACUGGUUAGAAUUUUAGAAAGAAUUAGGUAGAAACAGUGAAUUGAAGAAUCAAUUCAUGGAUCAGGAAACCCUAGAUCCAGUAUAUUAUUGAUUGAGAAUGUAGGAUUACAAUAGAAGAGAAAAGAGAGAGAAGUAGAAAAGGAAGAGAGUUACAAGGUUUUCCCAACUGAUUUAAAAAAUCAGUAACCAACUCAAUAAUUGCCUAACUACUCUCUCUUCUCACUUUCUAUUUAUAACUCCUAUACCUAACUACUUUUUCAGAAGUUAGUUAUUCCCUACUAGGGCCAUAUUGGCGCCUUUUAUACACUUGUGCUAUAGGAGGUCUAGGUCUCCUUUUAAUUCUAUCAAUACUCUCCCCCAAAAGAGCCACUUUGUCCUCCAGGAGAAAUUGUGGAAAAGCCUCUUGUAGUUGAGUAGCUACUUCCCAUGAAUUGUCACAUGAAGGCAAUUUUUCCUAAUGCAUCAAAACCUCCAGAUUCCCUGCAUUGUUUUGCACUGCAAGAUAUCACUUAGGCAAACCUGCAAUUCAAAUUCUUCAGAUAGCAUAGGAGGGAGUGGCUCAGUCUGUUGCGCUGGAUUCAAAAACUUCUUUAGCAAUGAAACAUGGAACACAAGAUGAAUCCUAGCAUGCUCUAGUAGUACCAACCUGUAUGCCACUGACCCAAUUAUUUCCAACACCUUAUAGGGGCCAUAGAAUUUAGCUAAUAAUUUAGCCAGUGGUAUGUUGACUAAAGAUUUCAGCUUAUAGGGUUGUAAUUUUAAAAACACCCAAUCUACCACUGCAAAUUCUACUUUUCUUCUAUGUUUGUUUGCCUGAGUUCUCAUUAAAUCCCGAGCCUUCAAUAAAUUCUGCUAUAGUUCCAGUAGAGUUAAGUCUCUAGCCAUUAGCAACUGAUUCACCUCUUCCACCUUAGAAGUAAAAGUACAUCCCUUGAUCAGUGUGGAUGGAUCUCUCCCAUAUAAAGUUCUAAAGGGUGUCAUGCCUGCAGAGCUAUUAUAGGUGGUGUUGAACCAGAAUUCAGCCCAAGGAAUCCAGUCUACCCACUGUCUUGGUUUUGGCCCUACAUAACACUUUAGAUAGGUCUCCAAACUUCUGUUAACAACCUCUGUCUGCCCAUCUGUUUGAGAAUGGUAAGCAGCGUUAUAUUUCAACUUAGUUCCACAUAGCUUGAACAACUCUUGCCAAAACUAACUUAAGAAAAUUUAAUCCCUAUCAGAGAUGAUAGAGGCUGGAAAUCCAUGAAGUUUAACCACUUCUUUCACAAAUAUGGCAGCCACAUCUUUAGCAGUGAAAAGGGUGACUCAAUGGGUAAAAGUGGGCAUACUUAGUGAGUCUGUCCACUACCAGAUAUAUGGUGUCCUUACCCUUGGACUUAGGCAGCCCAUAAAUAAAGUCCAUAGAAAUAUCUUGCCCUACUUGGAUGGGGAUGGGUAAGGGUUGCAACAACCCCUCUAGGGCUAAAAUAGAAUACUUCUGUCUCUGACACACCUCACAAGUCUCAACAUAUUGCUUCAAGUAACUCCUCAUCCCUUCCUAAUAAAAGAAACUAGAAACCUUCUUAAAAGUUCUAAAAAAUCCUAAAUGACCCCUAGAUACACUAUCAUGACAUUCAACUAGAAUACCGGGAAGCUUAUUAGAAGACUUUGACAAAACCAACCUGCCUUUGUAGAGUAACCUCCCAACCUGAAAUUUGAAAUAUGGAUGGGCCUUGGAGUCAUAAGCUAAGUCUUGGAUCACCUUUUGCCAUUUAGGCUCAUACUGAAUCUCCUGGAAUCAUUCAUCAACAUCUGCCAAAUUAACUACAGAUAGAGCCCCAUACAUGACUGUCCUGGAGAAUGCAUUUGCUACUGAGUUCUCUCUGUCAGGCUUGAACUGAAUUUCAAAAUCCAACCCAAUUAACUUGACUACCCACUUAAAUUGUUCUUCACUAAACAAUCUUUGAUCUGUGAGGAACUUCAAACUGCUCUGAUCAGUCCUGAGUAUAAAGUGUCUUCCCAUCAAGUAAUGCUUCCACUUUUGGACUGCUUGUACCAUUGCCAUCAAUUCUCUCUCAUAAACUAACUUUAAUUGUGCCCUAUUUGAUAGUCCCUUACUCCAAUAAGCUAAGGGUCUGCCCUCUUGCAUCAAGACAACCCCUAAACCUUUGAUCUGUGAGGAACUUCAAACUGCUAUGAUCUGAGUAUAAAGUGUCUUCCCAUCAAGUAAUGCUUCUACUUUUGGACUGCUUGUACCAUUACCAUCAAUUCUCUCUCAUAAACCGACUUUAAUUGCGCCCUAUUUGAUAGUCCAUUACUCUAAUAAGCUAAGGGUCUGCCCUUUUGCAUCAAGACAACCCCUAAACCUUUGCUAGAGGCAUCAAUUUCAAUAACAAAGGUUUUUGAAAAAAUCAGGAGCGGCUAGCAAAGGAAGUUGCACCAUAGCAGAUUUGAGAAUUUCAAAGGCUGUUGUAGCUUCCUUGGUCCAUACAAAAUCAUCCUUCUUCAACAACUCAGUUAGAGGCUUGGUUAUUUUGCUAUACCCUUGCACAAACCUUCUAUAAUAACCAGUCAGCCCCAAAAAUCCUCUUAACCCCUUUAAAUCUUUAGGGAUAGGCCAAGAUCUCAUGGUUUCCACCUUGGAUUGAUCUGUUGAAACCCCUGAUCCAGAUAUAAUGUGACCUAGAUAUUCCAAACUGGGUCUAGCAAAGCUGAAUUUCUUAUGGUUGGCCUUCAAUGAAUUGGUCUUGAGGACCUCCAACACCCUUCUUAGGUGUUGCUGGUGUGCCACAUCAUCUCUAUUGUACACCCAAAUAUCAUAAAAAAAACUAGAGCAAACUAUGUUAGGAAAGGUCUCAAAACUUCAUUCAUCAGGGCCUGAAAUGUAGAAGGGGCAUUGGUCAAGCCAAAGGGCAUGACAACAAACUAAUAGUGACCCUCAUGUGUCCUAAAGGCAGUUUUCUCAACAUCCUCUUCCCUCAUCCUUAUUUGAUGAUACCCAGACUUCAAAUCCAGUUUAGUAAACACUAUUGCUCCUCCAAUUUCAUCCAACAACUCUUCUAUAAUAGGGAUAAGGAAUUUGUUGGGUACAGUGACCUUGUUGAGAGCACGAUAGUCCAUACAGAACCUCCAUCCUCCAUCCUUCUUUUUGACUAGGAUGAUGGGGCUAGAAUAAGGACUAAUAUUAUACCUAAUGACCCCAGCUUCUAACAUCUCCCCCACCAACCUCUCUAUCUCUGUUUUUUUGGUAAUGAGGAUACUUGUAAAGCCUCAAGUUUAGGAUUGAAGCUCCUUCUGUAAGAUGGAUGGCAUGGUCAUGUCUUCUAACUAGAGGAAGUCCCUUUGGGUCUAUAAACAAAUCCUCAAACUCUACUAAUAACCCUAGAAUUGUGCAGAAGGAGUAACCUGGAAAUUCCCUACAUCAUUUUGGGUUCCACAGUGUAUGAGCAGCCCCUCCCCUUCUUUUAAAACCUGCAUCAAUGUACCAUAAGGUAACUCUGUCCUUGUGAAGGCUGGAUUUCCAGUUAUCUUAACCAAUUUAGUUCCUUGCUUUAUAGUAAGUUCCAGUUUCCCAAAAUCAACCUUGAUCUCACCAAAUCCAUCUAGCCAAUCAAGACCAAGAACCAUAUCAACCCUCUUGAGAGCAAACAGAGAGAAAUCUUAUACCUCUACCAACUGUUGCAAUUGGAACUUAAGUUGUGCAAAUUUUCCUUUACACUUCACCUUAUGGCGAUCACCCACCUCUACCCAAUAAGAUGGUGUAUCUACCACCUCUAAUUGCAGCCUAUCUACCACAUCCUUAGCUAUGAGAUUGUGGGAGGCUCCACAAUCAAUCAAUAUCAUGACAUUCUUGCCUUGUAAGGAUCCCUCUACCUUCCAUGACUUGAUAGUGGUAAAUCCAGACAUAGAGCACAAGGACAAAUGUAAGGCCUUAAAGGACUACAAGGACUCUUCUUUUUCAUACAACUCCUCUUCAUCUUUAUCUUCUAAUAUAAUCAUCAUAAAUUGCUUGUUUUCACACCUGUGUUCCUUAUUAAAGGGUUCAUCACACCUAAAACACAAGUCUUUUUCCCUUCUGUCCAUUAUCUUUGCACUACUUAGAUGGUGUAUCUACCACCUCCUUAGCUAUGAGAUUGUGGGAGGCUCCACAAUCAAUCAAUAUCAUGACAUUCUUGCCUUGUAAGGAUCCCUCUACCUUCCAUGACUUGAUAGUGGUAAAUCCAGACAUAGAGCACAAGGACAAAUAUAAGGCCUUAAAGGACUACAGGGACUCUUCUUUUUCAUACAACUCCUCUUCAUCUUUAUCUUCUAAUAUAAUCAUCCUAAAUUGCUUGUUUUCACACCUGUGUUCCUUAUUAAAGGGUUCAUCACACCUAAAACACAAGUCUUUUUCCCUUCUGUCCAUUAUCUUUGCACUACUUAGAUGGUGUAUCUACCACCUCCUUAGCUAUGAGAUUGUGGGAGGCUCCACAAUCAAUCAAUAUCAUGACAUUCUUGCCUUGUAAGGAUCCCUCUACCUUCCAUGACUUGAUAGUGGUAAAUCCAGACAUAGAGCACAAGGACAAAUAUAAGGCCUUAAAGGACUACAGGGACUCUUCUUUUUCAUACAACUCCUCUUCAUCUUUAUCUUCUAAUAUAAUCAUCCUAAAUUGCUUGUUUUCACACCUGUGUUCCUUAUUAAAGGGUUCAUCACACCUAAAACACAAGUCUUUUUCCCUUCUGUCCAUUAUCUUUGCACUACUUAGAUGGUGUAUCUACCACCUCCUUAGCUAUGAGAUUGUGGGAGGCUCCACAAUCAAUCAAUAUCAUGACAUUCUUGCCUUGUAAGGAUCCCUCUACCUUCCAUGACUUGAUAGUGGUAAAUCCAGACAUAGAGCACAAGGACAAAUAUAAGGCCUUAAAGGACUACAGGGACUCUUCUUUUUCAUACAACUCCUCUUCAUCUUUAUCUUCUAAUAUAAUCAUCCUAAAUUGCUUGUUUUCACACCUGUGUUCCUUAUUAAAGGGUUCAUCACACCUAAAACACAAGUCUUUUUCCCUUCUGUCCAUUAUCUUUGCACUACUUAGAUGGUGUAUCUACCACCUCCUUAGCUAUGAGAUUGUGGGAGGCUCCACAAUCAAUCAAUAUCAUGACAUUCUUGCCUUGUAAGGAUCCCUCUACCUUCCAUGACUUGAUAGUGGUAAAUCCAGACAUAGAGCACAAGGACAAAUAUAAGGCCUUAAAGGACUACAGGGACUCUUCUUUUUCAUACAACUCCUCUUCAUCUUUAUCUUCUAAUAUAAUCAUCCUAAAUUGCUUGUUUUCACACCUGUGUUCCUUAUUAAAGGGUUCAUCACACCUAAAACACAAGUCUUUUUCCCUUCUGUCCAUUAUCUUUGCACUACUUAGAUGGUGUAUCUACCACCUCCUUAGCUAUGAGAUUGUGGGAGGCUCCACAAUCAAUCAAUAUCAUGACAUUCUUGCCUUGUAAGGAUCCCUCUACCUUCCAUGACUUGAUAGUGGUAAAUCCAGACAUAGAGCACAAGGACAAAUAUAAGGCCUUAAAGGACUACAGGGACUCUUCUUUUUCAUACAACUCCUCUUCAUCUUUAUCUUCUAAUAUAAUCAUCCUAAAUUGCUUGUUUUCACACCUGUGUUCCUUAUUAAAGGGUUCAUCACACCUAAAACACAAGUCUUUUUCCCUUCUGUCCAUUAUCUUUGCACUACUUAGAUGGUGUAUCUACCACCUCCUUAGCUAUGAGAUUGUGGGAGGCUCCACAAUCAAUCAAUAUCAUGACAUUCUUGCCUUGUAAGGAUCCCUCUACCUUCCAUGACUUGAUAGUGGUAAAUCCAGACAUAGAGCACAAGGACAAAUAUAAGGCCUUAAAGGACUACAGGGACUCUUCUUUUUCAUACAACUCCUCUUCAUCUUUAUCUUCUAAUAUAAUCAUCCUAAAUUGCUUGUUUUCACACCUGUGUUCCUUAUUAAAGGGUUCAUCACACCUAAAACACAAGUCUUUUUCCCUUCUGUCCAUUAUCUUUGCACUACUUAGAUGGUGUAUCUACCACCUCCUUAGCUAUGAGAUUGUGGGAGGCUCCACAAUCAAUCAAUAUCAUGACAUUCUUGCCUUGUAAGGAUCCCUCUACCUUCCAUGACUUGAUAGUGGUAAAUCCAGACAUAGAGCACAAGGACAAAUAUAAGGCCUUAAAGGACUACAGGGACUCUUCUUUUUCAUACAACUCCUCUUCAUCUUUAUCUUCUAAUAUAAUCAUCCUAAAUUGCUUGUUUUCACACCUGUGUUCCUUAUUAAAGGGUUCAUCACACCUAAAACACAAGUCUUUUUCCCUUCUGUCCAUUAUCUUUGCACUACUUAGAUGGUGUAUCUACCACCUCCUUAGCUAUGAGAUUGUGGGAGGCUCCACAAUCAAUCAAUAUCAUGACAUUCUUGCCUUGUAAGGAUCCCUCUACCUUCCAUGACUUGAUAGUGGUAAAUCCAGACAUAGAGCACAAGGACAAAUAUAAGGCCUUAAAGGACUACAGGGACUCUUCUUUUUCAUACAACUCCUCUUCAUCUUUAUCUUCUAAUAUAAUCAUCCUAAAUUGCUUGUUUUCACACCUGUGUUCCUUAUUAAAGGGUUCAUCACACCUAAAACACAAGUCUUUUUCCCUUCUGUCCAUUAUCUUUGCACUACUUAGAUGGUGUAUCUACCACCUCCUUAGCUAUGAGAUUGUGGGAGGCUCCACAAUCAAUCAAUAUCAUGACAUUCUUGCCUUGUAAGGAUCCCUCUACCUUCCAUGACUUGAUAGUGGUAAAUCCAGACAUAGAGCACAAGGACAAAUAUAAGGCCUUAAAGGACUACAGGGACUCUUCUUUUUCAUACAACUCCUCUUCAUCUUUAUCUUCUAAUAUAAUCAUCAUAAAUUGCUUGUUUUCACACCUGUGUUCCUUAUUAAAGGGUUCAUCACACCUAAAACACAAGUCUUUUUCCCUUCUGUCCAUUAUCUUUGCACUACUUAGAUGGUGUAUCUACCACCUCCUUAGCUAUUAGAUUGUGGGAGGCUUCACAAUCAAUCAAUAUCAUGACAUUCUUGCCUUGUAAGGAUCCCUCUACCUUCCAUGACUUGAUAGUGGUAAAUCCAGACAUAGAGCACAAGGACAAAUAUAAGGCCUUAAAGGACUACAGGGACUCUUCUUUUUCAUACAACUCCUCUUCAUCUUUAUCUUCUAAUAUAAUCAUCAUAAAUUGCUUGUUUUCACACCUGUGUUCCUUAUUAAAGGGUUCAUCACACCUAAAACACAAGUCUUUUUCCCUUCUGUCCAUUAUCUUUGCACUACUUAGAUGGUGUAUCUACCACCUCCUUAGCUAUGAGAUUGUGGGAGGCUCCACAAUCAAUCAAUAUCAUGACAUUCUUGCCUUGUAAGGAUCCCUCUACCUUCCAUGACUUGAUAGUGGUAAAUCCAGACAUAGAGCACAAGGACAAAUGUAAGGCCUUAAAGGACUACAGGGACUCUUCUUUUUCAUACAACUCCUCUUCAUCUUUAUCUUCUAAUAUAAUCAUCCUAAAUUGCUUGUUUUCACACCUGUGUUCCUUAUUAAAGGGUUCAUCACACCUAAAACACAAGUCUUUUUCCCUUCUGUCCAUUAUCUUUGCACUACUUAGAUGUUUAAACUCCCCUUCUCUAGAUCUUGUAUUCUCUUCAGGAAAACUUUGGCCAGUGGUCCUUAUUGCACUAUUACUACCUAAACUCUCACUUUUUCUAUAUGUGUUAGGUUUUGCCUCAACUGUAACAGUUUUGGAAUAGGGUCCAGAUCUGGAAAUGCCCUGAUUUCUAGGAGUAUAGCCAUAACUACUCCUCUUGUGGAGCAAAACAUUCUUUUGCUCAAUUAAUAACACUUUUUAUAUAAUUUCUACUAAGGUUGAGAGUUCAUAAAGUUUUACCUCUGCUUGGAGUUCCUCUUUGAGGCCAUUCAAGAAUAUCCCUCUAACAAACACUUGAUCUAUUGUUCUCAAAGCAUCCACAUACUUCUCAAAAUUCUCCAUAUAUUCCUCCAUUGUUCCUGUCUGCUUGAGGGAUAUGAGUUGUCCAAAAGAAUUUUGGACCAUUGAAGGCUGAAAUCUCCUCAACCACUACAAUCUUGAACCCUUCCCAAUUCAGGCUGGGGUUGCACUUUUCCCACCAAUGAUACCAAAUUAAAGCCUUUCCCUCCAAGGCCAUUACAGUGGCUUGCAUUUUUUCUUCCUCUGUCACAUCCUUCAAUGCAAAAUACCUCUCCAAACGACGAGUCCAUCGAAAAGUAUCUUCUCCAGCAAAUAUAGGGAUUUCUAACUUGCGCCAUUUAUCCAUGCGAUUUCCUCCUUCACUUCUUUUUUCAUUACUACCCAUGCCUUCACGAAAAUGGCUAUGAUGAGCACGAUUCUAUCCCAAUUUCACCACUAAUUCAGCAAUCUGAUCCUUAUGUUUCUUAGCCAAUGCUUCUGCAAACUCCAACCUGGUUCGCAAUUCUUCACGUUCUAAUUCCCAAUCUUCUCCAGAACGUGCCAUACUUCAUGUCUUGAUACGCAACAACAAUUAUAGUGUGAUUUUCAGGGCACCAGGAUUGGUGCUUUGAUACUAGUGAUAACACUGGUCAGAAUUUUGGAAAGAAUUAGGUAGAAACAGUGAAUUGAAGAAUCAAUUCAAGGAUCAGGAAACCCUAGAUCCAGUAUAUUAUUGAUUGAGAAUGAAGGAUUACAAUAGAAGAGAAAAGAGAGAGAAGAGAAGUAGAAAAGGAAGAGUGUUACAAGGUUUUCCCCAACUGAUUUAAAAAAUCAGUAACCAACUCAAUAAUUGCCUAACUACUCUCUCUUCUCACUUUCUAUUUAUAACUCCUAUAACUAACUACCUUUUCAAAAGUUAGUUAUUCCCUACUAGGGCCAUAUUGGCGCCUUUUAUACACUUGUGUUAUAGGAGGUCUAGGCCCCCUUUUAAUUCUAUCAUCUAGCCACUUCCAAACCCAAGAAAUGCCUCUGGACCUAAAUAUGGAAUGGAAAAUGGGCAUGUGGAGGAUCAAAUAAGGAGUAAAAAUCAAGGGAGAUACCAAUUGAACUACACCCCACUAGUAAAAAUAACUUUUUUAAUGCUGAUAGAUAUGGUGUAAAGAAAACAACUGAACUGCUUCGGUUAUAGGCAUGGGAAAUACACCAUGUUCAUGGUGUCAACUGAACUUGAAAGUCACACUCCUCCCUGUCCCCUUUCCAAACAUAAAAAUUUUAUAGAAAAACUUAGACAAAGGAUUUCAUACCUUCCUCUUCUGAGCCUUCUCCCUUCUUUUUAAUAUCUUUGAAUGACAUUUUUUGAUGUAGUGUAUCAAAUGAUGUCGAGAAUGCUUUGAGCUUAAUUGUUCUUGGACCUUAGGAUUCUCUGUUAACCAGUCAACUAUCUCAUUGGACUUAACAACCUUAUCCUUAUCCAAAGCUUCAAGCCAUGAAUAAACUGGUAUCCAUUGAUCAGUGCGUUGAAACCUAGCAUUUGAAAGAUCAAGCUGUUUUGCUCCCCUUUCCUGCACGUUCGACAGAUUUAAAUACUGUAAAGGUUAAAUAACUUCCACUGGUUCAAAUAUUUAGUUUACAAUUGUCCCAUUUUAUGUAAAGGGAAUCUUGGCAAGAAGCACAAUCAUAGACGUAUGUCGCCCAGAAAACAGGAAAGCCUGCUUUCUUUUAUAAAUAUAAUAACAGAGAAUGCAUUAGAUAAGCACCCUAUACCUAGAAAACAUUAUCGUUGUUUACAAGAUAAGACAGUCUUACAAAAACAACAAAACAUUUUCCCACUAUGUGAGUCGGCUAUAUGGAUCAAUUGGUGCCAUAAUGUCCCAUCAUAAAUAAUCUCCAUAAACAAACCAUUCGAAUCUCAAUCUCUCUCUCUCUCUCUCUCAUAAACCAAUCUUACAAUAAGGUACAAAACACCUUUCUUUCUAUUUGUUUUAAAAACAGAAAACACCUGCAUCUUGAAAUGAUUUGACGAUAAAGAGGGAAUGAAUUUUUAUACAAGAUUUAAAAUGACUUGGUAUAAAAUAAAUGGUUUUGGAUAUUUAAUUAAAGAACUUUAAAGUUUUCAGGGAAUUUCUGGCCAGUAACUUUAUAUGAAAAAUAAUAAUUUGAAAUCCCACCAAAAAGGUGGAAUAUGUGAAAUCCCUUCAUUAGACAUCAACCCUCUCAUCUCAUCUAUAUUUCGAUAAUGAUCUCUGUCAUGAAGAUAUUGGUGAAUUCCAUGCUGCACCCAUUGCCUCCAUCAGUGGCCACCUUUACAGUAUAGUAGCAGUUGCUGCAGCUUAGUAAGUGCGCAAAGAGCAAAGAUUGACUCAUAAACAUGAACCUUCUCCUCCAGGUGGAUCUCUGUGGCAACACCAUAGCCAUUGUUGAACCUUUUUCACAAUGUCCAUGGAGACCUUGAGAUAAUCAAUGGAGGGGUCACACUGCUUGUAGCAGCAUUGAGGAGGAACUUGUUAAAGAUCUUUUACAGGUAAGGGAGGCAAGUGAUCGGUGGUAGAACUAGAACAUCUCAGUUAUCUAAUAGAACCUGAGCAUCUUGGAGUGCUUCUCAAUAGUUGAGAAUGUGCUCCAACUCGUCGUCUUGCUGAUACAUUUCAAUGGUAUUCACGGCUAAUGCCGUCACAGAGGUUCAAUGUUGAGUGCUGCUCGUCUGCAAUUGGCAUUUCUUUUGGGUUUCCGUAUUUUUAUUGAAAUUCCAAUUUUGCCAAAUAAUUAUCCAAACUAAGAAAAUUUACGAAUAUGGAAAAUUGCAUUAAUUUAUUUCCUUUUCAUUUUAUAAUCUCUAAAAUUUUGGAAUGACCCAUCCAAAAACAUCAUGGGUCUUUUUCCACUCGUAGACCUCAAUUUGUCCAUUUCUUCCCAAUGCAAUAUUUUCACCCACAUCACUCAAUGUUGAGUUCCUAACAUCGUAAACAAGGACACAGACAUUUUUGUAGCAGUACACAAACUAGUGGUUGGGGAAACUCUUAUACCACAGGCCUGAGCAAUCUAGAGACAACCAAAUUCCUUCAUUACUUUUUUCUUCAUCUAUUAUUGCGGGAACAAAAAUCAGUGUUCCUUAACAAAUCUUAGGGCAGCAUACAUUAUCCUUCCUCUCCUAAUCAAAAUGCACAGUGCCCAGCAAAACUGAAACCUUAAACUCAAGUUUUCUUUCUCAAUUCUAUGUUUUAAAAUUCUCAACUUUAUUCUUCAAACCCUAGGAGUCUAUAACCGCAACAUGCGAUAUAGGGAUUGGCUAGUCGUUACCAAAAAAGUUUUCAAUUAAAGCCAAUCUCUAUUUUAACUUGACAUUAAUUCACAGCAAACAACAUGGAAAGCAUGUCUAAAUAAGUACCAUCAUUAUAAACUUGCAGAAUCAUCCACAAAGAUUGUCAUUUUCAGUGAGUUGGUGGCGUACCUCAUUAAUGGGGAAUCUAAUGCGAUUCUGAACGGAAAUGAGGCCGACACAUAUAUCAGAGCGAGGGGCUGAACGGAGACCCUCAGGAAGAGAAGCGAGGUUGGAGUUGACCCAGGCUUCGAUCUCAGGCAUCGUCACUUCCUUUGCCUCUGGGAAGGAGCCGAUCCAUGCUCGAGCCAUGGUUUCCCAUUCAUGUUGGGACGGACCGUUUUGCUCAUGCUCUUGCAGCUUCUUUUCACCCCCUGAGUUGAACAUUUUGCUGUGUCGUUUGUGUUCAGCAAGGAAUGGGAAGGGGAAUGGGAGUGUGAUGCAUAAUAAAAAGCGCACACAGCUUUUCCGGCCAAGCAUUUAAGAAAAAGGAUAAAACGACAAUCCUUGUGUUUGCGUCUCAAUACAACGUACAUUUCUCUUUUUCUUUUUUUUAUAGAAUCCUACACUACACUCUUGUAUCUCAUUACACUAGCAUCACACCACUCGUAUCCUUGAAUUCAGUUUUGUUUGUGCCCAGCUGUUCUUCUAAUUUAUUUUAAUCUCUAUCGGUUAACUUACUCGCUCAUUAAAUUACGCUAUCAUCUUUAACUCCACUUCCUUCCUAAAACAUGACCAAAGUACAUUUCAGACAAUUGGAGCCGAAUCUGAAUCACAUGGUCUCUAUUAUGUCCAAAUUUCUUCAUCCAUUAUAUGUGCUAUCACUAAGUCUUCUAAUCUUGUUCAUCAUCUGGGCCAUCUAGAGAGAAGUUGAAGCAGGUGAUCCCUCAUCUCUCAUAGUUGAAGUCUUUGGAGCAAUAUUUCAAAUUGCAGUUGCAAUAGCGAUUCCAGUCACAGUUUUGAUUAUUGUGAUGGUGGUCACUGUGAUGAGGAUUACGGUUGUUGCGGCGUGAAAUUUUGUCUUUAAAAAAAUGCUUUUGAAUUUGAUGUAGUCUAAUACGAUUGUAUUGCAUCCCUUGCAGACGCGUCAGGUGAUGCCGGUCCACAAUUUGAUACAUGGCUUUUGAGUGUGAGUCGUUUUAACUUGGGAAGCAUGUUAGGGUGUCCUUUCCAAGUAGAGUAACAGUUGAGAUAUGUCUUUCUUUGAUAUUAUUCAUUCAGAUGUUUGGGAUCCUAGUCAUGUUCUUCUACUCGACAUCACACAUAUUAUAAAUGGCUCUUGAUUGAGAUUGUCAACUAAUGUGGGACUUUGACAAUGAACACACCAUAAUCACGCCCCAGAAGGAACUUCUAGAGCACACAUGGCCAGCAACGGCAUAGGCCCUAUCACUUGGGGACUGGCUUAUAGUUACCAUAGAAGUAUUCAAACUAUUUCAAUUAAGAGAAAAAGUUGUAUGCAUAGACUGUCUUACGGUGCAUAGAUAUUACACUAUUCACUUACAAGGCAAUAUUGGUUUAAAAUUUAAUCACCUUCAAUACCAGCAUAAGCAAGUGAAAAAAAUAUGAAAAUGAGAGAAUCAUCAACAAGCAUUUUAGGUACCUAAGGAAUGGGGAACCUCAUGCAAUUAAGAUAAGGCGGAGGAAGAGAUCAGGGCGAAGCAUUGAACGGCGAGACGCGCGGAGAGAAGCGAGGAUGGAGUCACUUCAUUCACUUCUGGGAAUGAGUACAGCGAUGGUGAAGCCAUGCUCUCCCAUUCUUGUUGCAAUCAAGGUUUUAAAUAGCUGCCAUGAUUGUAGAGACUUUCAAAAUCUUGAUGACUUUCAAAAUCUUGAUGUUAAGGUAAACUUCGGAUACCACAAAACCUUAAUGUACUUAAUGGUCACGGACUCGGAUGUAAAACCAUUAUUGCGCUACUGCUUGUUUUGCUCUUGCGUCGCGUUCAUUCAGAUUGAGGUGUUACACUCUGUGGUUUGUAUGAGUGACUCAAGGGGCGGGUAUGGGAGUAAAGCAGUGGAACGCAGAAGAGAACACCACCCACCGCAUUUCAGGCUGAGCGUUUAAACCAAAAAGAUCAAACAACAAUGCUUGCUUUUGUUUCUAGAUGCUCACUUGACCUUGGAACAAAUACAAGAGUGGGUAUGAAAUGAAAAAAAACACAAAUUCACAUAUACUUGAAGAGUAGAGUGUUUAUAAGUAUUUAUUGUACUAUUGGUAUGUCAUAUGGGUAUAAGAGUUUAUUGGUGGGUGAAGACUAUCACAAACAAAACUAUUCCAAAAGCGUGUGCAGCACCACCACUUCUGCCACAAGGUGAUUGGAGAAUGUACAUUGAUAACCAUAUUAUAAGUGAUUUAAGAUUGGUUCUUACCACACAAUGAGAAUACAAAAAAGAGAAUUGGGUGUCUUAUUUUCUAGACGACGUGGUUAAUAGUAUGCUUGUAUAUUUUUUUUGUAGUGGCACAAAAUGUCUUAAAGAAAGUAACAUAAUCAUGACUCAGCCAUUAAGUAAAUCUCUAGUGUCACAAUUAGUUGUUACAAGCCAUUGAGGAAGAGGCUCACAGGCCGAAUAAAAAAGAUUAAGUUUUGAUUAUCUCGAACAACAACACUAAAAAGAAAUUCUCAAGUGUGGUUAUGAACCCAUUUGACAAUAACUCUAAAAAUUAGAACACCAGUUGCAACCAGAACUAGAACCCAAAAGGUCUAAUAGGCUAAACUACUAGCGCAUCAUGCGCAUAUUUGCUAUAGUCGUAUUAUGUUCAAAACAUACAGGAAAUUGAUGACAAGAAAGUAUUGUUGGAUGAUUCUCAUAUCAUUAUUGUUGCUCGUAUAGUUUUACCUAGAUCAUAUGGAUAGACUUGUAUUCUCUUACUAUGAAUGAAAUUUUUGUAGGGAAAGGGUAUGUCAAUGAUGACAUGUUCAAAUUGAAUCUUGACGUUAUUUUGAAUAAAAUUUCUUAUUGAAUUUACAUAUUGUGUAAUUUUGAUAUUUGGCAUAAUAGACUAUGUCAUAUUAACAAAUGUUUAAUUUCCAAAUUUAGUAGCUUUAAUUCUAAAGUUAUCUGCAAAUGAUCUUGAAAAAUGUGAAUUUUAUAAUCAAACUAGAUAACAAAAAGCCACAUAAAUUAAUAGUGUGAGAAUCUUAUCCUUUGAAUUUGAUGCAUUCUGAUAUAUGUGAACUAGAUGAGAUGUUAACAAGAAAUGGAAAACAUUAUUUUACCACAUUUAUUGAUGAUUACUUUCACUAUAUUUGUAUAUAUCUUACGAACAAUAAAAGUGAAGUGUUUGUCAUGUUUAAGUUAUAUAUGAUUGAAAUUGAAAAUCAACUCAAUAAGAAAAUAAAAAAACUCUAAAGUGAUGAGAGUUUGUUUGGAGAGUUUUGUGUUCUAUGUUGUAAAGACAUGAAGGAGUAUUUGUCUGCAACAAAGAGUUUAGAUAUUUUCAUUGUGAGAAGUAAGACAUCUUGUCACAUCAAGAGAGAAAGAAGAGUCAAGUAAGUUGUUUAUCUAAAAGUUAUGGGGUACCAAAACUUUAGAGGUCAAGCAAAACUAGAUUAAGAUUGAAUGUGAAAGUGUGCUAGUAAAGAACAUUUGAUUCCACAUAGUGUAAAAUAUUCAAAUCAUAAAGAUAGACUAGAUUAGUGUUGGUGGAUUGACCUGAACCAAAAUAAAAUAAGCAUGUUAUUUUCUUUAUCCCUUGGCUUUGUUUGGUUGACAAAAGAAAAUGAGAAGAGAGAAAUAUGCGAGAAAGAAAAAGGUAAGAAAGAGAAAGAGAAAGAGGAGAAAUGUAUUAGAUUUUUGUGAUGUUUGGUAUAAGAGAAGAAUGAGAGAAAAUGAAUAGAAAAAAAUAUUUUAUUCUCUUUCUCUUUUAUUUGGUUGGAUAGAAAAUAAAAAGAAAUAGAUGAUGUUGUGGUUCAAAUUACAAAAAUGUCCCUAGAAUAAAGAAAAGAGACAUGAAAAUGUUGUUUUAUUAUUAAUUAAAAAUUUGUUAUAAUUUUAAUUAACAUUUUUAAUUGAUAUGAUAUGUGAUAUAGUUUAGGAUACAAUUUGAGAUAAUAGAUCAUUAUCAAGUUAAAGUCUAUCUUUCUCUUCUCACUUUCUCCUGAUAAGUGGAGGGAAAGAAAUUUUGUGGGUUCACCCACUUUUUUCUUUUCUCCAUUCUUUCUCUCCUCUCCACCAAAGGAGAGAAACUCUCUAUUUUUCUUCUACUUCUCUCUUUUUUCUCUCUUCUCUAACUCUACCCAAUCAAAUUCAACCUUAGCUCUUUUAGUUUUGAUUUACUGCAUUUCAAUCACUCUACUAUCUUGUAAAUCGUUAUGUAAAACUAUUAUGUUUCAAAACUUCAUUCUUUACUAAGUUCUUGUUCUUAUUCAGUCCAAUUUAUUUUUUGUUUUGUGCUACUAAUCGAUCCACGAUCGAUUAUCCAUCAGUUAUCGAAAGAAUAAUUGAUUAUACACUCUGUAUAAUUUAUUAAACCGAAAAUGGUGCAUGUAUAAUAAAUAAGUAAUUAAUUAUCUGAAAGAAAAUUAUUGUGUGCGAAUUUUGAAUUGAAACAGUGAAGUAGCCUCACACAUUUUCAACCCCUCUAAGUGUGUACAACCUUUGUUUACAUACAAAGGAAAGUCAUUUUUGCAUAGAUCACUUUGAUUUCAUUUUUUUUCAGUUUUGAGAAAAGUCCUUGUGGUCUUGAUCCUACUUGGCCUCUCUACUCUUUUAGAACGAAUUUUUAAAUCUAAUCGAACCUUUUAAUAACAAGACACCCAAAAAAACGUUAAAUUAAAAAUCUUAAACAAAUAAUCAAUUUAUUUCCUAAACCUUUUUCCCGAAGGAAUGUUACCCAUGUGGUCUUGAGCCUGAUUGAUAUCCAUUCCCUUUUAAAAAACCUUAAAUAACUAACCAAAAAGUACUUGAACUAGCAAGUUACCCGUGCAUUUGCAUGGGACGAUAUUUUUUUCCGCAUGAUUAAGAACACAUAUUACAUGUGCAUUUAUGAUUAAGAAUAUGUAUGUUGCUCGUGCAUUCGCAUGGUUAAAACCAUAUAUGUUACCAGUGCAUUCAUAUUGUUAAAAUUAUUAAUUAUAUAUAAAAUCAUACGGUCAAACCAUACGGUUUAACUGUUUAAAUUGGAUAAACUUAAUAUGGGUCAUCUACUGGUUUAACAUCUUGCUCGACUUUCUCAACAUUGUUUUUUACACAUACAUAACAUGAUAUAGUUAGUAGUAUCCUAUUAAUCAAAAAAAUCAUCAAUAAAUUUAUAAUUUCAUUAUUAUUUGAUUCUAAAAUAAGAUUAGUAUAAAAAUAAAUAUUAUUUAACUCUAAAAUAGCUACAAACAAUAUGUUAUGAUUCAUAUUAUUAUUUUAAUAUUGUUAUAGUAACAUUAUAUUUUAAUAUUGUAUAGGUAAUCAUAUUCCUUUUAUUUUUAAAUAAAUCACAUGUCAUGAGGGCUUGAGAGAUUGACACAUGUCAUGAGGGCUUGAGAGAUUGACACAUGUCAUGAGGGCUUGAGAGAUUGACACAUGUCAUUGAGAGAUUGACACAUGUCAUGAGGGACUUUUAGUUUUGAUGAGAGGUUGACACAUGUCAUCAUGAAGGCUUGAGAGAUUGACACAUGUCAUGAAAGAGUUUUUUUUAUUAUAUAGGUAAUAGAUUAAAUAGUCUUGAGUUUCUCAUUGCAUCUGCAUAUACAUUGGUGUUAGUCACUUUCUUGUGAGGUGCUAAAAAUAAAAAAAGUAUUGUUCUUUUUCUAUCUUUUUAAAUCUGAAGAUAAUAAUAAUUACAAUAAUUAAUGGUAAAAUCAAUGUGUUUAAGCACUUUCACAUCGUUAAUCUUGAUACCCUAUUUUAGAAUGUGUGCUAUGGAGUCUUUAAUAUGUUCCUCAUCAUCAAUAAAUUCACAAAUUUAAAAGUUAAAGUAAAACUCUAUUUUGGUCUUUCAAAAUUUUUCAAUGUAUUCAUUUAGUCCUGAAAAUUGGAAAAUCCAAAAUAGUCCCCAUAGGUAUAAAAUGUUAAUAAAAUUAUAUAUGUUUAGCAUUUAAAUGACUUAUUUCAGGGUACUUUAGUCUUUAUCAAUGAUUAUUUUUACUUAUAUUUGUGAUUUUUUAUACUAAUUUAAAUUUUUUAGGGAUUAAAUUGAUAAAUAUAAAAAAUUUCACUUGUUCAAUUUUUAUCUUUCUUUAAGAAAAGAAGUUCAUCACCUAUAUACCACCUUACAUAUGACAUCACUAUAUUGAAGGUUCAGCCUUUGUAAAGCAUUCUUCAUUACUACCUUUAGGAGUCAAGGUUGUGUCUUUGUCUAGUGUGGCCAAUACUAGCAAUCCCGUAAUGAUAUUUAUUUUCUUCUGCACAAAAUAAGAAAUAACCCUGGCAAAUUAAAAAAAUAAUAGUGAAAAUAAAACUCACUUAUAUCCAUUGUCCCAUUGAAAAGUGUUGUAAAUGGCUUGCAUAAUUAAUUAUGGCAACAUAAAUUUAAUUAUUAGCUAAGUUAUAAUCAAGUUGCUCUAUUUAAAUGCAAGCAAGCAUCACAUGAAUUUUGAUGAAGACAAAGAUUGACAACAAUGUUUAUAAAUAAAGAUGAAGACAAAUGUUGACAACAAAGAUAGUAGAUAAAGCUGAAGACAACAGUUGUAGACAAAGAUCAAGCUUGAAGACAUGGACAAAUCAACAAACAAUAAGUCAAAAGUCAAGACUCAAGUUCACUAAAGCUCAAACAUUCAAGAAGAUCUAAAGGCUAAGUGUUUUUUCUAUUUUCUUAGGUCUUAAGAUGUUUGAUUGGGUAGAGUCUAGGUUAGGGGAACCUUAAUGGAAGUCUCACAACCUAAAAUUAAUCAUAACUAAAAUGAGAUUUACAUGCAUACAUAUAUGAUUUACAUGUACAUACAUGAUCAUAUGAUUUAGAUGCAUUAAAAAGAGUUUUAAAUCGUACAACAUUCACAGUCAUGUAUCAUAUUUUUACAAAUCAUGUAGGAGGUUCAUAUCAUAUUGAAAUAUCUUUUUUUUUUCUUCAGAAAAUCCUUAAUCGAUUAAGGUUUAUUUUAAUCGAUUAAACAAUGCAAAAUUGGGAAAUCGUUAAUCGAUUAAGUAUGAGAUUAAUCAAUUAAUGGUAGUUAUAGUUUCUGAAAUCUUGAUUUUUAAAGAAUCGUUAGUCAAUUAAGUAGGGUGAUAAUCAAUUAACUACAACAGAAAACAAAACUGUAUAUUAACCUAACCUUUUCCAUUUUUGCAUAUGAGUGAGACUAAUUUUUAACCCUUAAUUUUUUACGUUUUCGUAUUUCUUGAUUUACUUAAAUUGACAUGCAUAUCAUUCAGUGUUAUUUGCAUAUUCUAUUAUGUGCAUUAACUGGAUGUUAUUAUCUAUAAGAGUGCAUAUAAGUUUAGUUGAAUCUUGAUAAUCUUAAAGGUUAAGGGCAAAGAACAAGAACCGAGUAAUCGAUUAAGUUCUUGAGAUAAUCGAUUAUAUGCAGAAGCAAUUAAUCGAUUAAAUCAUUAGUUAAUCGAUUAAAUAGUAAAAAAAAUUGUAUAAUCUUUUAGUUAAUCAAACAAUGAUAAUUGAAUACCGAAUCACUUAUUACCUAUUCACCCAUUCUAGGUGAAUAAUAGAGCCCUUUGGAAUCCAACAAGAUGUAUAUAUAAACUAAAAUUUUAUGUUUAUUUUUAUUAUACCAUAGCUUAUGCAUUAUUCUUUACGUUCAUUCUUAUUAUAUAAAUAAACAAUUGAAAUUGAAUUAAUUACUUCAGUUGUCCAAAUGAAUCAAUUUAAGUUGAAUCAAAUAGAUUAUAAACUUUAAUCGAGACAAACUAAAGCUAAUAAUCUAAUUUGUAUAGAACUCGAGUCGAAUUCUAAAUUGCACAAAUCAUUAUUGAGAUAAAGGUUCAACUCGAUUCGACUUGUUUCUAAGUAUAACCAUGAAAACAAAAUGGAAAUUACUCUAAUACAGUCUUCUUUUUUUCCCUUCAGUUUCCCUUUCAUGUUUCAAACACUUACCGUUAGACAACCAAAGGCUCCAUCUAAAAUUCCAAUCUCCAUCGCCAUGAAUCACUACAUAAACUAACCCACUGCUCUUCCCUACUCAGCUUUUCAUUUUUCUCUUCUCACUCUCACUUAACCAAAAAGACAUGAGGCAAGACAACUUCUCUGUUCAGAAGAGAACCACCGCCGCCACCUUGCCCACCACCGCAGCCACCAGAUCCCGCACCAACGCCCUGCCACGUGGCCGUCAGAUACAAAAAACCUUCAACAACAUCAAGAUCACCAUCCUCUGCGGCUUCGUCACCAUCCUCGUCCUCCGCGGCACAAUUGGCGUCAACCUCGGAUCCUCCGACGCCGACGCCGUUAACCAGAACCUCGUCGAGGAGACCAACCGCAUCCUCGCCGAGAUCCGAUCUGACGCCGAUCCCAACGAUCCCGAAGACGAGACAUUCUUGAACCCUAAUGUGACCUUCACGCUGGGGCCCAAGAUAAGGAAUUGGGACCAGGAGCGAAAAACAUGGUUCGGUCAGAACCCGGAGUACCCCAAUUACAUUAAAGGUAAACCUCGCAUAUUGCUCUUAACUGGGUCACCACCAAAACCAUGUGAUAACCCAAUUGGGGAUCAUUACUUGUUGAAAUCCAUUAAGAACAAGAUUGAUUACUGUAGAUUGCAUAAUAUUGAGAUUGUGUAUAAUAUAGCACAUUUGGAUAAGGAACUUGCUGGGUAUUGGGCCAAAUUGCCUAUGAUUAGGAGGUUGAUGCUCUCACACCCUGAGAUUGAGUGGAUUUGGUGGAUGGAUAGUGAUGCAUUUUUCACUGAUAUGGUUUUUGAGCUUCCGAUGUCGAAAUAUGAUGACUAUAAUUUGGUCCUUCAUGGGUACCCGGAUUUGUUGUUUGAGCAGAAGUCUUGGAUUGCGGUCAAUACAGGAAGCUUUUUGUUCCGGAAUUGCCAGUGGUCGCUGGAUUUGCUUGAUGUUUGGGCUCCGAUGGGUCCCAAGGGUCCAAUUCGAGAAGAGGCUGGGAAGAUCUUGACUGCGAAUCUCAAGGGCAGGCCGGCGUUUGAGGCAGAUGAUCAGUCGGCCUUGAUAUACUUGUUGCUAUCCCAAAAGGAUCAUUGGAUGGAUAAGGUGUUUUUGGAGAAUUCAUUUUAUUUGCAUGGUUACUGGGUCGGGUUGGUAGACCGUUAUGAGGAGAUGAUCGAGAAGUAUCAUCCAGGGUUAGGUGAUGAGCGGUGGCCAUUCGUGACACAUUUUGUGGGUUGUAAGCCUUGUGGGAGCUACGGAGAUUAUCCGGUGGAGAGGUGCCUAAGUAGCAUGGAAAGAGCUUACAAUUUUGCAGAUAAUCAGGUGCUCAAGCUCUAUGGCUUUAAGCACCGUGGUUUGUUGAGCCCUAAAAUCAAGAGGAUCCGAAAUGAGACGGUUACUCCUUUGCAGUUUGUAAACCAGUUUGAUAUAAGAAGACAUCCUUCAGGGAGCACUGAAUCAAAAAGCUAGCGACUUUUGAGAAGAAAAAGUGCUUUAAGAUGAAUUUACUUUGGUAACAGAUCACUUGUAACAUCAUUUUGUUCUUUUUGUCUUGAUUCUAAUAGGAUAGAAUUCUUUCAUAAGUUAUCGUCUUGCUACCAUGUUUGAGUUAUUAGUAAACAAUUUUUAUUUACUCAUAUGCUGUAUGCUCAGCUUCAAUUAAUUUUGUUACUCUUGUGGAUGAAUUCAUAGACUUAAUAUACUUCUGUGCCGUCUUCAAUUAAUGAAUUUAUAGUGACCAUCAUUCUCUGCUUUACUACUUUUCUUACCCACUUAAAAUGUAUGAUUUUUUAACAGAGGUAAUGGCUAAUAGCCUGCUAAAUUUAAUGUUUGGAAAUAAAUUCUUUUGAUAUAUGGCAUGCAAUUUUGACUUCUGGACAAUCACACUUAACCAUAGAGUUAUACCUGUGAAACAACAAUGACAAGGGUGCUUUUACGUAUCUACACCCUGUAGUAGCAUCCUGGAACUUGUCAUGGUAAUAUUAAUAAAAUAUACAGAGAUGAUACUUGAAUAACCUGCUUUACAAGAUUCUUUGUUGCAUAGUACUGAGUUCUACGGUUUUCUUAUUUCCAUUUGUCAUAUAUUCAGCCUCCAUUAGGACAUUGCUCUUCUGCUGGAACCUUAAAAAACUUUGCAUAAAGUAGGAGUAAAUAUUCUUUUGUCAUGUAUCUUAUUAGUUAUUAUGUUUUAAUUUGGUCAUUUAAAAAAAAAUAGUGUCAAAUUUAGUCCUCUAAUAAAAAAUAGUGUCAAUUUAGUCCUACAAUAAAAAAUCAUGUCGAUUAAGUCCUCUCUCUAAUGUUUGUCAAUGUUACCUUGUUUUACCUGUGUCCCACAUACCGCACACUAUGUACUGUAUACCAUGUAUCGGGUUAGUUAUAAUAAAAAAAUUGUAAUAAUAAUGUUAAAAAUGAUUAACGAUAUAAAACAUGGCACAACAUACCAGAACCAGAAUUGGUAUGGCAAACCAUGUAAUCACCUUCUCUCUCCAUUUUUUUCUCUCAUCUCUAUCUUUAUUAUUUCAUCUCUAUCUUUAUCCUCUCAUUUUUAGUAAGUGUGGAAGGUAAAUGAAUUAAUUUGAAUAUUAAUGUUAGGAUGAAAAAUCAUUCAUUAAUCCAUAUAAAUUCAUUUAAAUUAUAUUUUAAAUUACUCAAUGUAUCCAUAUAAAACUUAUUGAAUUUAUCCAUGAAUCAAUUUUAAUGGAUCAGAUGAAUAUAUAACCAAUUUGAUUUUUUAAUUGGAAGUAAAGACAUUUUUGAAGAGAAUCAUUUUUAUAAAAAAAAGUGUUUUUAAUUUUUUUAAGAAACGUUUAAAAAAAUUAUUUUCUGAUUUAAAAAAAUGUAUUUUUGCGACACUCUACAAGCAUGUGGCAUUUAAGGUUUUAGUGUAAAAAAAUUAAGAGAUAUUUAUAUAUGGAAUGUAGUUAAGAACAAACUUUUAAUAUUAACCACAUCCAUACAUGGAUGACAAUGAAUACCUAAACCUACAUGUAUCCAUAGAUAAUACCCACAACAGGUCGGGUCUGGGUUCAUCUUUUUGGACCUGUAGGUAAUUGAGAUCCGAAAUUUUGUGACCCGGUGUUGAAUGAACUUAGGUAAUAAGGUAUUCAGACCCACAAUACCUGAACCCGAUAUUCCUUUUUAUAGAUAUAUCAACCUAAUAUUAUGUUAAUCAUAAUUGUUAUAUUAUAUGCUAAUGCAUAAUUGAAUAUAUUAUAUUAAGUCAUAAAUGUGAUUGUUAUGUUGUUAAAUAAUUAUAUUAUGUCGUUAAACAAUGAUGUUAUGUUCUCAAUUCAUAUUGUGAAGAAGAUCUUUGCUCCUGACCUUGACAAGGUUUUGAUGAGGACACCAACAUCACCAAAAAGAAGAAAAGGAAGAAUACUUAUGAAGAUAAAGAAGAUUAAAGCUUCAAGAAAAUUAGAUUAAGUCUCUAUAGGUACUUCUAUCGUAAAACUCUUAAAUAUGCUCAAACUAUUUUUAAAGAAAAAUGAAACACUUUAAAAAUACUUAAAACAUUUUUCAAAAAUAGUGUGUAACAUGUUACUUCAUCUAAGUAACAAGUUACGUGUGUGAGAAAAAGAGUUAUCCAACUUAAAACUGUUCAGAGUAAUCCAUUACUGCCUUUGAAUAAUAGAUUACCAGUUUUGAAAAAGUUGAGUAACCGAUUACCCAAAUGGUGCAAUCGAUUACUCUAAUUUGUUUCUAAAAGAACAGUAGACAGAGAGUUUGGGUAAUCGAUUACCCACUAUCAGUAAUCGAUUACUGAGAGUUGUUGCAUGAGAUUUCAAAUUUCAAAAUGAAAUGUUUUCACUCCAAACGAAAUCUCUUCACUUCAAACAACUCCUACACUUUCAGAAAGGCACUAUGAGUGUUUGGAAAGUCUAUAUAAAGGCUCUAACUCUCACAACACAAACACACAACAAUACACAACUCUUAUAAAAUUUCCAAAAGCUAUUAAACUUAUUCUGAAGUUAUUUUUCUACACUUUUUGUAACUAGCACUCAAACUUUCAAAAGUUAUUUUUCUGAAGUUGCUUAGAAGUGUUUCAAAGUUUUCUAAAAGAGCAUUAUUAUUUAGUAUACUUAAAGAGUUGAUUGGAUUGCAAGUUAUACUAUUGUCAUACUUGUAAAGGCAAUCUGCCAUUGUUGUACAUUCUUCAAUAUUGUUGCAGAAUACUUUCUUUCACGGGAUGUGAAAAGAAAGGGGAUUAGAAUCACUUCGAAAAGUGUUUUCCAAGAGUGAAUAAGAAUUAGGGAGUGUGUAAGGUACAUAGAAAUCUCAGGGUGAGAUAUUGUAAUUACAACUCAUAAUUCUUAGUGAAGAAAUCUCUUGUGAUACAAGAGUACUGGACGUAGCCUUCGGUGGACAAGAAGGUGAACCAAUAUAAAAUCCUUGUGUACUCUCUUCUCCCUUAUCUCUUUGAUUUAUUCUUUUUAUUUUCUGCAUAUAUUUUCCGCUGCAUGUUAACUCUUGUUUUUGCAGAAAAAGUGGCUAUAAUUUUUAAGUCAACUAAUUCACCCCAUUUUAGUUGCAACUUCGUUCUUACACAUAUGUGUGAUGUAAUGUUAUGUUGAUUUGAUGAAAUAAAUUUUUCAUCCUAAUAUUAAAGUUAUUUUUUAUGUUUGUUUGAAUAAAUUGAAAUGAAGUUAAUAAUCAAUUUAAACCGUGUUAAAUUAUGUUUUAUAGUUUCUUCUUUUCACUAGAUAGUCACAUAUCCAUUAGGUAACCAAAGACCGGGAGUAGCAGACUCAACGAGUAUCUGUACAAGUCUGAGUAGGUUUGAGUCAAAAAACGAAGCAACGAGAUGGGUCCAGGUAAUGUACUACCCCAACUUAUCUAGACUCAAUGUCAUCCCUAUUAUCUUAUUAACGACUUCGACAUUAACUUACACACCCUAAUUUUUUUAAAAAAAGUAUAUAUUACCUACAACUUUUCAAGCCCAGAUUGGGAAUUUCCCAUAUUACAAAGAAUGGUCACCACAAAUUAGAAAUUACAACUUUGAACAACAUAACAUAAGUGAGAGUUUCUGCUUCGUAUACAGACAAAAGUCUUGCCUUCAAACGAUGUUUCACUUCUUAGUUGAUUGAUUUUUUAUAUAGCCUUUGGUGCUUUUUAUUUCAUUGUUUUUAAUUUGCGUUUCAUUUUUUUCAUAUAUAUUUAACACUACUUCCAUUUUAUUUUUUUAAUUUUAUUAUUUCUAUUCAUUGUUGUCUGCAUUUAUUCUUUGUUUGCUUUAUUAUUUUAAUUUUAUUGUUUCCAUUAUAUGUUUAACGUUGUUACCAUUAUAUGUUUAAACAUUAUUUCCUUUAAUUACACAUGUAUCUAUUAAUCAUCCAAUAUAGAUAAUAAAUCAUAAAUUUAUACCUCAACAUUUUUACCAGAUAUAUAAAGACAUAGAUGAUUUUGUUGAUCACGACUUCUAUAUACAAAUUUAUCUUAAGGUAUUAGUGAUUCUUAUUCAAAAUUGAAUAGAUGAGAUGUAGAGAAAUUUAAUCGGAUGAAAUUUGUGCGAACUAAGUAGUAGCUUGCAACUUAGACCAAGCCUUAAUUAAAUUAAUAAAUUCAUAACUUAAAGUUUCUCAUUAUAAAAAUUAUGCAUUUUUCAUAAGCCAUAUAGUGAUGACACUAGAACCAUCCACAACAUUGUAACAAUUUUUCGAAGCUUUUUUUAUCGUCGAUCAAACGAGGAUGAGAAAGGAAAAGUAGUGUACGUUUGUAUUAAAAGUUAUUUAAUGAUAACUAGAUAUCAUCGAAAUUGGAUAAUGCAUAAGAAUUAGUCAUUGUAAUGGAAAUGACAGCCGGACAUAAAUGGAGGGUGGAUUGCACAACUCUAACAUAUGCAAGUUUAAAAUUGCUUGGAGAAGACAUAGGUAUAUGGUUGAUACGAGUACAAUUUUUUUCUAGUAAUAGAUUCUCCAAUAAUUGAAUAUGAUAGGAGAAAGAAAAUUCUUCAAUUUAAAAUUAUUUUAUUCAAAAUAACUUGAAAUCAUAGAUGUUAAAAAAAUGUGCUAAAUGUUACAAUCCUGGACUCUACAAUACUAGAUGAAAUCUUCAUCUGGUGGGAAUACAACUCCUCCAUGUUACUGAAAUAUGAGAGAAGAAAAAUAAUUUCUUCAAUUUUAAAUAUUUUAUUCAAAAAAUAACUUGAAAUCACAAUUAUUAAAUUCACCUAGAGAUGAUCCCCGGAGCUUGAGAUGAUGGUGCCAUGCACAAUGCUAGAAAAUAGAUUCUUGAUUGUAGACACUUCUAUUACAUCAUGGGGUAAAGUCUAGCUUUAAUAAGUAUAUCCAUUAAUUAUUCCGUCAUCGGUUCUUAAUUACACACAUUACAUAUUUAAUAAUAACAAUAAUAAUAACUUUUCCAAAAUAUCAUUAGAGAGGAUUUACAUAUUUUAGAAGUAGUUAAAUUUUUUUUACUCUAUAUCUUAAGCAUUCACUCAAUUAAAAUAUAAUAAUCCAGAUCUACUUAUUAAUUCAAAUUAUGUGAACUAUUAUAGUUUUAUAGAAUGAAUUGUUAAGAUAUAAAAUAUUUUUUUUUAAAGAAGGGUAAGUGGACCUCUCUCAAAUCUUUGGGUGAAAACUUUUCUGCACUCACCGCCCGCUUACAUAGUUUAUACUUUAAUAUCUUGCACUUGAGUUUGAGUAAGAAUUUAAUCAAAUGGUUCUUACAUGUGCAAUUUAAUCAAAUGAACAGGUGUUUGGUGUAUAGAAUGGAGCGGCAUCAACCCAACACCCCCAGAGAUAUGGUUGUUUCCUUACUUUGUUCCUAUGCACCCAGAUUCAUCUUAAUUUUAUGGUUAUCCUCUAAAAAAAUUAAAAUAUUUACAUUUUUUUAUUUUGACAUUUUGUUUUAUGUUAGCUAGUCUCAUAAGAUAAGGGUAGUUUAUCUCGAUAAUGCACUUUUCAAAAGUAAUUUCGCAAAUAGAAUAGUUUAUAAACUAUUUACUAAAAUGCGUAGUUAAAGUCCAUCUUUAUUAAAUAUUUUUGUCUUAACACGUGUCAGAUGUUGACUGGCUAAAAAAAAUAAAAAAUCUGAAAGCUAAAAAAGAAUGAAAAAGGGAUGAGAUACAUUGCCAUCUCUUUGUUUUCGUUUUUCUUUUACAUUUUCAGAUAAUAUUUAAGAUUAACUAAAAUAAUUAAAAUUAUUUAAAUAACUAAAGUAAUUAGAAUUAAAAAUAAAUAACUAAUAUAAACUAAUUAAAUUUAUUUAACUAAACUAAUUAAAAUAAAUAAACUAAACUAAUUAAAAUUAAUUAAAUAACUAAAGUACAUUAUUUGAAUAACUAUAGUAAUUAUAAUUAAAAUAAAAUAAUUAAUAUCAAUUAAAUAAAAAAUAUGAACUAUACUAAUUAGAAUAAUAUUAUUACUCUAAAUUAGGUACAACUAACUAAAAUAAUUAAACAAAUAAACUACAUUAUUUAAAUAACUAACAUAAUUAUAAUUAAAUUAAAUAACUAACAUAAUUAUAAUUAAAUUAAAUAACUAAACUAGUCAAGAAUAACUAAUUAACUAAACUAAACAAACUUAUUAGACAUGAAUAAAAACAAAUUAUCUUAUAGAUGAAGAAGAUGAGGGAGGAGGAGGAUGAGGAGGAGGAAAGAAUGCAAUGAGAUGAGUUAAAAUGAGUGAAGAAAAAUUAAUUUGGGUGGUUAGAGGUUGAGAGUUAUACAGUUGGAUAGUUUGGGUAUAAAUUAAUGUAGUUGAGUGAUAAGAGGUUUUAAAUAAGAGAACAUGAAAAGUAUAAAUGUUAUAAAAUUUUAGUUAAUAUUUUUUUUAAAAAUUGAUUUAAAAAAAAGAAUAUAAAAAAAGGGGUGAGACAUGCUGGUGUGGUGACACGUGGCAGCAUAUCCAACCCCUUUUCAUUUUUUAUUUUUAAAGUUGUGAGAUUUUUUAUUUUUUACUUUUUGAACUAAUCACCAUACAACAUAUGUCGAUGCAUAUAUAAUUUAAUAAUGGUUUAAGAUUUAAUUUUUUGGACCAAUCAACAUCCUACGUAUGUCAAGGUAUAUACAAUUUAAUAACUUUUUAAGAUAUUUUUUUGAACUAUCAAAAAUUAGUAAAUAGUUUAUAAACUGUUAUAUUUAUAUAAUUAUUUUAAAAAAGUGUAUUAUUGAGGUAAAUUAGCCUAUAACACUCAUUAAUAUAAAUUAAAUUAUGGACAUAUAUGUAUAAAUUUCAUAUUUUCUCGAAGGAUGUGGAAUGUGGUACCACACUAGAAUGAUGUAUCUAUCCAUGCUAUAUUUGGAACAAUGUCCUCUCCGAAACUACACAGGUUAGUUUUUUUCUUUUAAAUUUAAAGGUGAAAAUGUUGUUUCACUUUAGAUGAAAAUAAUAUAAUUGUCAUUGUAUUUUGUUUUUCUUUGUUUUUCCUCUUACACCAAUUCCCUCUUUAAUGUUGGAGAGUUCGCUCGUCACAGAUUAGAUGUCCUCAAUAAUAUCUUAUUUUUUGUCCCACACUAAUUACAUAUUGUCACACUAAUAAAAUAAUUUUUUUUAUAAAAAAAAGUAAUAUUCUCAUUGACUUAGUAUAGAGAAUGUGAUACUGUUUGAAACAUGAUCUCCAUUCUAUAUUUAUGAUAGAAAAUUUGUGGGUCUUAUCAACUCGAUUGAUUUAUUCCUUAGAAGAGAGUUAAACCCUUCCUUAGAAGAGAGCUCAACACCCUUCCUUAUACCGUACUUGAUUGGAACAAUACUAAAAAUUUAUGUGCAUAUCUUGUCAUUUUCUAAUUGUAUUGUGUUCCUUCUAAUUUUCUCCUAACUCUAUCAUGACUCAUGAGCAACGGUAAUCCACAGGCUGCAAAAUAUGACACUUUGGUAGAUUCGACGUUCCUAAAAAAGCAAGAAAAUAUUGAUUGUACUGAUCAGUCCAAAGCUAUUACUUUUUUUACUAAUGACGGUCCUAGCAAUUUUGAACCUCAAAAGUUGAAAACAAUUAUCAAAAGCAAGACCCAACCACUAAAACAACAAGGAACUCUAUAUCUUUUACAAAACCAAAAGAACCUUCCGAUGGUUAAUAUAUUGCUAGUAAUUUAAAUUGUAGACUCUAUCAUGUGAGACGGUUACAAUAUUAUGGUUGUGGUAACCACUACAAACGCAUCACACCACAAUUGAGGAUUGACAACACCACAUUGGACUGCAAGGCAACCAUAUUGCACCACAACACAACCACAUUAGAUCACAUUUGAGUCAUAUUAGGCCGCAUAAAAUUCAAAAAUAUUUUUUAAUUACAAAAUAAUUCAUAUCACAAUGGUUGCAAUACGCAUCGUAACAACCACAAUAACCGCACUCACAAUCAUAACUGCAAUUUAAAAUACUGUAUCUUGCUAAUGUGAAGGUAGAUGUGAAGAAUUCACUCCGAAAGUCAUAGCAACGUAGAUGAGCAAAUGAUUGAUUUUGAUGGUCAUAACAAGGAAGAUGACAAAGUGACUGAAUCACAACUUUCUCAUUUUGGUAGUGAACCACGAAUUGGUUCUUUCCUACCAUCAUGGUUCUUUUGAGAACUAAUUCCUUUUAAGGAAUGAAUCAAAUUUUUGCUUACAGUGUAAGUAAAAGAAAAGAAAAAUAACUGAUAAUGUAUACUCACUUACAUGAAUGAGUUACAAAGAACAAAAAUUAUUUUUAUCAUGAUGUAUUUCUCCUAUGGUGAAACACAAGUUAAUUCACACCUAUAAUAAGUAAAACUAGAAACGACUAUGCACAAAGCUAUAAAAAUACCACUGAAUAUACCUAUAGUGUACCAAAAUUUAGCAGGGCAACGUACCAUGUAUUACGUACCCGUUGAAAGAUUGUUUUCGGAUUCCCCCUCAACAAAUGGUCAAUUUUUUGAAAGAGUUUUUCCAAUUGCAAGUUUAUUUAAUUAAUUAGAGUGAUGAAUAUGAACAAUUUAUUUAAUUAGUGACUUUAUUUAUUUAAUCCCUUUUCGGGUACCUUUCAACCAUACCAUAAAUGCCAGUCUCUGUUUAUUAAUUUAAUCAUACCAUUUCAUAUGAAAGUUGGUAUCAAAGAAUAAUAAAAUGAAUAAAAGAAUAAAGUUAGCACUUAACCGUACCACUUCUUUCAAAGACUUGGUAUAAAGAAUAAAAGAAUAAAGCAAUAAAUAAAAGUUAGUUGCGGAAACGUAAAUGACGAAAAAUAAAUGUUAGUUGUGGAAAGUAAAUGUUAGUUGUGGAAAAUAAAUACAGAAAGCAAAUGUUAGCGGUUAGAUUUAUUUUUCAUCACUCUCUUUUUACAAGUAACAAUUCAUUGAUUGAAUUGCACUUUUUGUAUGUUGUUUCUAUUCACAUAGUUACAAAUCAUGAAUUGAUGUGCACUUUUGUGAAUAUGUUAUGUUUCAACGAAUAAAACUUAUAAGUUUAACACUUUAUUAUUUUACACUUGCAUCUCUUUCAAGAAUCAAUUGUAGUGUAUAAUAGUAUAGAGUUAUAUCGAACCAAAGAGAAUUGCAUAAUAGAAGAUAAUCAUAUAGGUAUAUUGUAGCAAAAAUAAUGAUUAACAACUUUUUGAUGGUUUUUGUUAUGUUGUUGCAUAAAAACUAACAAAGAAAGAUAAACUAAUAUUCACAAAUUCUUGAGGAGAGAAUUGGUUUGAAAUAUAGAAUUAUUUCUAAACUCAAAUGAUUUUGAAAACAUUACACAAGUUAUGUACUUUGGUUAAUUCCAAACACCAUGUCUUUAACUUUCCAUCUAGGAGGUCCUAGUAUGAAAAAGAUGAUUUUCAAACCUUGUUUAAUACACUAAAUAAUAAUUAAUUAUCACUCGUCGGAGUAGGUUGUCACAACCUACUUCAAGCUCCGUUAAAUUUAUUUAGCCUUUAACACAAGUUGCUUAAAAUGGAUGCUUUGAUAUGGCAAGUGAGCUAAGGUGUAGGCUAUACUUUUUAGUUCACUUGUUAAUACCUUAUGAAUAAGCAUUUUUGGAUCCUUAAAUCAAGUUUUAGGUGAUCAAACUAAAACCACAUUAAGAACUUAUUAAAGAAUUAAAAAGAACCAAAAGUAAUAACUUGAAUAUAUUGAAAUAAAAAGAUAAUACAAAUGAAGAAAAGGAAUAACAUUACAUCAGAAUCCAAAUUAAUGUGUAGGAGCAUGAGUCAUCUAUCUAAGGAAGAGAUGUUUUUGGAACCAAAUGAGAUUACAAAAUUAACUUUUGUAUCCCAUUUGCCAACUCCCGUCUCCUCUUGAAUUCUAAGAGAAAAUUACAAGAAUUUACCUAAGUAACUAGCUUGGAACCGUGACUCCAAGAUAAAAGAAUUCUAGAGAGAAGUUUUGUGGAGAGAAGAAGUGAAGAAUGAAAUGAAUAAUGAAUGAAUUGAAAGUAUGGAAGAUGACCUCUAUUUAUAGGCACUUUAGACACCGCCAACAUGGGGUUGGUCCCUUGUCCAAGCAGUUUAGACAGCUGCUUCUUGUUGACUCACCCAAGCUAUUUGUGAGCUACAUGAUCAGACUAUUGUGGGCUACUCUGAAAAGUGCUUAGGGGCCAUGUCAAGUGAGGUCAUGCAUGAUGUAUUCUUUGCUUUGUGGCUAAGUCAAGUUGGCCACUUGAUGAGUGCAAACCUCCAGGCUUCUAUAUGGCACCACUGAGCUGCCUACUUGAGCAAGUUGGUUAGGCCAGGUAGGUGCUUGGUGAGCAGGUUGUCCUGUUUGGCCAGAUGUGUGGUUCCAUGUUGGGCAAUAUAGGUGCAUGCUAAGCUGCCUGCUUUGAGCAGGUUGGCCUGUGUCAAGUUUGAGUUUGACCGUGCCAUGCUUAUGCUUGACCGAGCCAAGUUAGUGCUAGGUCAUGUUGGCCGACCCUUUGGUCCUCGCCAUGCUGCUUAGUGAGCAACUUCAUGUUUGUGGUUCAUGCUUAGGCUAAGCAUCAAAUUUGGCUUAUGUGGAUACCUUUGGCUUGACUAUUAUUUUGAUUUUUUCUUCUCUUGAUUUCUCCUAAAAACUUUACACAAAGACAUGGAAAAGAGGUGGACAAAAUAUAUAAUCAAAUUAUGAUAAUUUAUACAAAAGUGUUGAAUUAAGUUGGUUUUGUAUGAUUUGUAUGGGAUAAGUGCCAUGAAAAGUGUAUGAAAAUUAGGUAUUUUUGGUAAAACAUAUCCGAAUUGGCUUUGGCUAAUUUUCAAGAUAUGAUUGACAUGAUUUCAAAUUUUGAUUAAGCAUGCUCAAAAUUUCCAAUGAGAUUUUUCAAGAUUUGUAAAUUUCAUACAUAAUGCUUCAAACAUCAAUUUUAUGCUUAUGUUCAUAAAAAAAUGUGGAAUAAAAUAAAAGCAAAUAAUUUUCAAUCAAAAAGUGUUUGUUGUGCACACAAAUUCAAGGAUAGAACUUUUCAAGGAUGUAGGUGUUUCACUCAAUAUUCAACCAUUUGAAUGUAGUAAUUUGAACUUGUUUUUUGUCUCACCUAUUCUCUUAAAAUUGUAUUUUCAAUCAAGGAUCACUAAAGUUUUGUUUUUUGUUUUAAUGAGGCUAGGCUUGAAAAGUCAUGGUUUUUCUAGAUAAGCAAAUUUAUUCAAGAGAGCAAAGAUUUUCAACUUUUUUUCCAAUGAAGCACUUCACUCUUUUUUUUCUUCAUAAUUUCUUUUUCCAAUCUCUUAGUUUUUGAACUUUGGCUCUUUUUUGACUUUUUCAUUGUAUUUUUCAAUCUCUUUCUUCUUCCAUUUAUUUUACAACUUUUGUUGUUCUUGUAAAGAGAUUGAUUUUUUUUUCACUUUUCCUUUUCAAGAAGCCAAGUUCACCAAUUUCUCUCUCAACUUACUUUUUUUCAAACACUUUUAAAAAUUCAUGCUCUCUUAAUUAGAACCUUCUGUUCUAAUUUUGUUCAUGGGAUUUUUUGAAAAAAAUAAUUCACUUUGUUUGGCUUAAAGGGGAUUAUCAAAGGAUAAUCUUAUUUUUGGUUAGACUUUUUUGGCCAUUUUUGGUUCAACUAAAGAAUAAACAUGUCUUGAUCAUUUCUUAUCUAUCUUAUGCAAUUAAUAGAACUAAAGACUCAAACAAGUUUGUUUAGACAAAACAAAUGGUGAUUUUCACUUUUAUUCUCACGCGUUUGGCUCACUCUCUCAUUUGAUUUGGAUUUACACUUUUAUUUUGAAAAAUGUUUGCGAAAAUCAUGUUACACAAUUUUAAAAUUUUAUUUGCAUAAAAUUUUCUUGUUAUGACAUUAUGUGAUGUUUUCACAAUUUUUUUAAUCUUAUAUCUCAUUUUUCUCAAUGAAAGCUGUAAAAUGUGCUUAGCAAUUGUUUUCAAUCAUGCAAUCUUUGUCAAUUUAUUUUAUUUAAGGCAAUUCAAUUCGUUUUUUUUAUAUUUUUAUUUUAUUUUUUAUGGACAAACAAAUUACUUUCUAAAUAAAUGUACAUCCUAAAAAAAUGAUAAGUUCUUUGUAAUUUUCACAUAUUCAUCGACCAUGUCUCCCCUUUUUAAAUAAUGGAUUGCCCUCAAGCCAAUGAAAAAAUUGAUUUGUAAAAGGGAUGUUUGAUGAAUAUGGAAAAUUAUUAACAAUGAAACUUAAAAUUUUUGCAAACAAUUUUAAACACACAACAUAAUUCAAACUAAAAUUAAAAACAAGAAAGCAACUAAACAAGUUCCAAGUAGAACAUAUGGAAACAAGUUUUGCAAAGUAUCAAAUGCAAGAAAAUAAAGUAAAGAGAAAACUGAAUAUUCGCUUUGCUCAAUCUUCAUCUUCUUCAUCAAGCCCUUAUGACCUUACUUCCGGCCAUUGAGUGUGGGCAACAAACUCCUCAUAAGUCCCACCUUGGAAGUUAGGAUUUGAACCAUAAAUGCCAUGAAAGCUUCUACACAUGCUUGUGAUUCCACGAUAGCAAGCAAUUUGUUGUUGGUUUUGAAAGUGUUUGCUUUUGAACAAUUGCUUCUAAAGUGGAGUUGCUUGCCCUUCCAAGUGAUGGUUGAGAAGAUGAGCCCAUAUCUCCAAACGUUUUUCACAAAUCGGCCCUAGCUUGGUUCAAGCUUCUCUCUUUGCAAUGAGAAUGGACAUAAGAGGUGUUGAUUUCGGUUUUGAGUGCCAUGACCUCCCCAUAUGGUCCGGGUACUUCUUGACACCUACAUAAACCAAUAACAAAUAAGGGUAAGAUCAUAGAAACUAUACCCCUUGUGAUGCAUCCAGAGAUUGCAUCCGAGAUGAUGGCCGCACAGUCAAUGGAAUCUUCUUCAUAAAUUGAGUUGAUGAACUUUGCUUUGUUUAAAGGUAGAUCUGAGACAUGUGAGGCUGGCCAAAUGUUGGACAAUACAACGAUGAUCCAUAAUUGUGAAGCUUGAGUCAUGCAAAACCUAAACACCAGACCACUUUGGUGGACUUCCAACCCUUGCAAGCACAAACUCCUUCACACUUGAACAACAUUAUGUGCGUUUACUUCACCCAAGGACGAUGCCCUUAUUUUGAGCUGGUAAGUGCGAAGAUCAUGAUCACAAUUCGGGAAAGGAGACCAUGAGUUCCCAAGGUAGUCAUUGAUCAUGUACUUGUCAUAGUAUACUCUCUUGCCAUUGAUCCAUGUAUACUUAUUUGUUCUUGCCUCACCGACACAGUAGAAUUGCUUGACAACAUCAAAGGAGAACAUCUUCUUGGUUUGUGCAAGCUUGUUCCAUCAAAACUUCAUUACUAAGAGCAUGAAGCCUCCAAAUUCCUCCUCCUCUAAAUUGAUAAUCUUUUCCAAGACCGGUGCACUUUUGAGAGUAAUGUCAUUGAACUUGUGUUUGGCACCCUUAGAGAAAAAUUUGUUGCCUUUCUUGAAUUCCUUAGCAACUUCUUUGCCUUUCUUUGAGAAGAUACUCCUAAAAAAUAAAUUUCACAUGCAAUUUUUCCAUUCCUAAGAGUUAGAAACAUAAUUUUAAGGCAUUUUUUUAAGUAGGCAUACAAUAUUUUCUGAAGCUUCAUUCGACUCUUAUUAAAGUUCAAGUUGUGAAUAUGCUUUACUAAUUUUAUGAUGUCUUAAUAAUGUUAAAACAACCCCAACAUCAUAUUUUUUCAAUCAAACAAGCAUAAAUUCACAUAUUCAAAAAAGGUGUCCAAGUAAAAAAAAUUCGAAGUCUUUGUUUGUAUCAUAAAUUCUAAAACAUCCCCAUAAAUUCAAUGAUACAUCAAAAAAAUAUAUUUGAUGUUCUUAAGGCUAUUGGUUAAUGAAAAGUGGUGAUACAAGAAAAAGUUCACACAAUUUGUAAGGAGUCAUGUUUUUGAGUAUGUAUGGACUUUUUUCUCCUUAAGCAAUGUUUGAAAUGAUUCUUUUAGCCAAAUCAAAAUAGUUUCCAGUCACAAAAUAGAAUUUAAUGUGGUUAGAGUUUUGAAUUUUGGAACAUGAUUUUGGUAUAGAAACUUACUCAAUUUCCUAAACAUUUUUACCAUUUGGUUGAGCCAUUUUUUCAAACACUUUGUGUGUCCAAACCAUGGAUCUUUUUGCUUUCCUCAUUAAUUCUUUAAACAUCAUGAAUAAGUCAUGUUUGAGACACAUUUGGUCACAAAUUUCUUGUCUCAAACGAUUUCUUUUCAGAAAAGAGUUGAGAUAAAUUUUCUACUUAAAAACUAAAUCUUUUUAUCUUAGAAAUGUUUUUCACAUGAAAAUGGUUUCAAUCAUGUUCAACAAUAACCAAUUUAAAUAUUUAUCAAUAAAAAAGUAAGGAUAAUCAACAAUGAUGUAUGAGUUCUUCACAAAAAUUUUAAGAACAUAAACUUUGAAACUUUUUUAUAUAGGGACUUUCUUUGAAUUUUAUUUUUGGCUUGAUUUAAUUUUUUUUCCCAAUCAAAAAUGUUUCAAGAAGAACAUGAAAUAAAAGAGUAAAGCUUUAAAAUUGAAGGAGAUGAUACUUACAUGUUGAAGUUUGAUGCUUUGAAGAAGAAGACAGUUUUUUAGAGAAGAUAACUUUUUGAUCUUUCAAAAAUGAGAGUGAGAGGGAAAUUUUUGGUCAAAUGGGGUCUUUAAUGAGGUAAGAUUCAAAAAAGAUAAGAGGAUAAGAGAAAUCCUAUUUUGAAAGAUUUGACCCAUAUGGUUGUCCACCAGGGCACUAGGCGCCUAGUCAGCAUGCUUGGCGCCUAAUGAGCAUGCUGAUUGUAUUUGGCUUGGCCCAUGGCUUAGCUCAUACAAAAAAUUUCUACUCAUUUUCCCUCUUUUAAUUGAUUUUCAAAAAAUGUUUUUUGGACCAAAAAAUUAUUUUUCUCAAUUUUCUCGUUCAAAAUGAAAUUUAAAGAAUAAGAAAAAAAGUUAAUGAAGAAAAUAUAUGUAUAUAUAUCCAAAAUGUACUAGGUUACCUCCCAACAAACGAUUCUUUACCGUCACUAGCUUGACAUUUGUUACCUAUAAAAUUAGCUUUUUUCACCAUCCUCAUUCUAUUGCUCAGAUGAGCUGGUUUCACCCUCAAGAUGGUAUUGCAAUGCUCCAUUUGAUUACCUUAUGUAUUGGCUGAAAAUGUCGUUUUCUGAUUUUUCAAUCAAUUGUUUGGGAAGUUGCCCAAUUUGAAUCUCCAUGUUUCUUAAGGAAGCAUCAGUAUUUUUCUGGUUAGACAUGAUUAUUUGCAUGAAUUGGUUUAGUGUGUCUUCUAGUUUGACAUUUUUAUCCUGAGUUGGAUGUUGAUACUGAUUGGUUUUAGGGUAGAAUUGAGAUGGUGGAUUUUGAGGAUUGUCCUGCCUCCAAGGUUGAUUCCCUUGAAAUUGAUUACCCCACCCCCCUCUUGGGUAGUUGUUCUGAAAAUUCUGCCUUGGAGGAUUGUUGACUAAAUGGACUUCCUUAUUCUGAGUCUGACAAUGGCCCAUUUCAUGAUCAUCAGCACAAUUGUCGCAUAUGAAAACUUGUUUAUUUGAAGAUUCCCUGAUUUGUCUACCGAUUCUUCAUAUAAUCAAUUAACCAAGAACUUAAUCGAUUAACUAGUUCUUGUUCUUUGAAAACCAGUUUUCUUUAAUCUCCAAGAUUCAACUAAACUUAUAUGCAAUGUUACAGAGGAUAACAAAAUUAAUGUAUAUAAAAAAUCAUGCAAAUAACACAAAAUGAUAUGAAUACCAAGUUAAGUAAAUCAAGCAAUACGAAAACGUAAAAAGUUUAGGUUGAAAAGAAUGAGACAAUGACUUUUAUCCUGACCCGUUUGCUAGACCACUGCAAACUAAAUCCAGGCAUCCCCUUCUGAUUUUGGGAGAUUUUUAUUUACUAAUGAAAGUCAAUGUUUUACAAAACACACUUCCAAGCAAUACAAGACUUAUUUCUUAGACUAUGAAGAUCCCUGAUUGGUUUGACCCUCAAUGCUCUAUGGAUAAUCCUCACCACCUAUGGUUCUGACACCAACCAAUCUUAACUCACUUCCAAGAUCCUUGUAUAAGUGAAUACAUCACCUAACUACAGCUAGAAUUCCCAAACCAAUUAUCUAUCAAUGGUGAUACUAACACACCAAAAGAAUAUGUUUAUGCCAAGGUCUAUACAAAAAUGAGUUGUUGCACCUAGAUGUGAUGAAUAUACACCCUUCCAGAAUCUAAGAACCUUUCUAUAAGUCUCAGAAACUUAGAGUAUAGAAAUUUGAGAUGUAAGGUUUCUUUGCACAAAUUUUGACAAUACAAUUCUUGAAAAACUUCUAAAGACUCAUGAAGUUUUAUCUUUUUUCCAUUUUCUCUCUUUUUAAAAAACAAUUAGGAAAAUCUCUCCUUAGAUAUGAAAGUGUAUGAACAAUCUGGUUUUUGAAAUUGUAUAAAAUCUAUUGUUAUGUGUUAUUCUUGAUGCAAAUGUGAAAAAUUGAGUUAAUAUACAAUCCUGUUUUCUGGUAUAGUUAAUCAAUUAACACCCUACUUAAUUGAUUAACGAUUCUUUAAAAAUCAAGAUUUCAGAAACUAUAACUGUCAUUAAUCGAUUAAUCCCAUACUUAAUCGAUUAACGGGUUCCCUUAAUCGAUUAAAUAAACCUUAAUCGAUUAAAGGUUUUAUGAAAAAUAUACUUCAAUGCAAUAUGAAUCUCCUACACGAUUUGUUAAAGUAUGAUGCAUGAGUUUGAAUGAUGUAUGAUUUAAAAAAUUAUUUAAUGCGUCAAAGUCAUAUAAUCAUGUAUUUAUGUAUGUGCAUGUAAACCAUGUAUCUAUGCAUGUAAGUCUCAUUUUAGUUAUGAUCAAUUUUAGAUUGUGAGACUUCCAUUAAGGUUCACAUAGCUAGACUCUACCCAAUCAAACAUCUUAAGACCUAAGAAAAUAUAAAAACACUUAGUCUCUAAAUCUUCUUGAAUGUUUGAUAUUGAGUUAAAUUGAACCUUGACUUUUGACUUUGUUGUUUGUUGAUUUGUCCAUGUCUUCAAGCUUGUCCUUGAUAUUUGUCUAAAACUUUUGCCUUCAACUUUAUCUACCAUAUUUAUUGUCAAUCUUUGUCUUCAUCAAAAUCCAUGUGAUGCAUGUUUGUAUAUACAAUAUACUCAUUGAUGCAUGCUUGCAUUUUCGAGCUAAGAGUGCCUAUGAUAUACAAAAUUUGUUUACAAUGAGUUUUUGUUGGCAUGAUUAAAGAAAAGACAAGGAUGGAAAUAAAUCAUACGUCCUAGGGCAACUCGUUUUGCAACAACCUUCAUUGAUCUGAAAAACAUUCAUCAACACAAACAUGAUUUGCAAGCCUUUGGUCACUAGUAAAGAUUUUAUUGGUUUUAUACGUUAUAGGGACAAAAAAGAAGAUAGAUUUGUGGAGGUUGUGAUGAAUACUAGGUUUUGAAAUGAUUGUACAAUUAUUGUCAAUAUUGUGGCUCCACUCUAUGUUAUGUGUAUGAUGUGAUACGUAGAGUAAGGAAAACUAUUAAGAGGGUGUUUAUGAACAAAAAAAUAUUUGUAUAAGUCUUAUACAAGAAUUUAUAAAGCAAAGAUAAGAUAAAAAACUUCCAAAAAAUUAUAUUAUGUUGCAUACUUUUUGAAUUCAACAUUCUAUUAUGAUAAGGAGAAGUUUUGUAUCAAACCAGAUGUUCAACAAGGUUAAGUUGAUAUUUUACAAGCAAAAGUUACCACAAAUGAUACCGAGUUUUUCAAAAAAAGUUGAAUCUAUCGUGAUAAAGUUGAGAGUUUUGGCAAUACAAUGACAAUUGAAAUAGUUAAACACUUGUGAGCGGGUAAGAUUUUAAUUUGUUAAUUUAUCAAUUUAUUGAAAUAAUGUGUAAAAAUGUAAUACUUUAUGGCAUACUAAUUUUUUGUGAUGUUUUUUAGAUUAAUGGUGGUUGUAAUUUUGAUUUAGUGCUCCUACAGAAAUUAGUUAUUAAAAUUUUGAGCCAAACAAUAUCUUCUAUUGGUCAUGAAAGGAAUUAGAGUGUGUUUGGAAGAAUACACGUAAGGAUGAUGAAUAAAUUGGAGCACAAAAGAUUGAAUGAAUUAAUUUAUGUGCACUAUAACUUGGACUUAAAAAAUAGGUUUGUUAUUUAUUAACUUAAUUUUCAAUGUUUACUAUGUAACUUCUAUUUUGUAUUGAUAUAUCAUAUUUGUUGGAAUUAUAGGGAAAUUUAUAAAAUAAUAAUACUUGAUCAUGUUGACUAUGACAGAUGAAGAACAUUGAGUUUUGGAUUAGUGAAGAAGAAGAAACUCCAUUGAUCGAUUAUGAUGAAAUAGAAAAAAUGCUCUAUCAUGACUUAUCAAAUCGAAUACUUGAUUUACCAAAGGAUGAUGAAAGUUUGUUUUGAAUAAUUUUUUGGUACUACCAAUGAUAUCACCUCACUCUCUUUGGGUAAUGAACUAGUCUCUUUCGGAGUGCGUAACUUCCCCUUCCAACAAGUGUCAUUCCCAAGAAUCGAAUCGUUGAACAUACCAUAAUGUGCAACAAUUUUCUAAUUGUUCUACAAAUUAAUCUAAUGUAUAUUCUAAUAUGUAGGUGUUGUUAAAGAAUGAAAUACUAUUAUUGACGGAGAGUUGAAUUUGGAUUUUUUUCCUCAAGAAGAUGUAGAUAGUUACACUCAAACUAUAUCUCUAACCGACAAUGUCAAUUUAAGUUAUAAUGAAGACACUGUUAGUUGGAUGGAUUAAAAUAUUUAAUCUCUCUAUAUGUGAUAGUUGUAUCUUGAUUUAUAAUUUUAAUUAUGUAAAACUUCAACUUGUUUGAUGCACUUCUAUUUUGAUUUAUGUGUAUACAUUAUGCAAAACAUGGUAUUAUAAUUAUUUUAAAAUUUUAAUUAAUUAAGUUAUAUAUAUAUAUAUGUAAUAUUAUGAUGUCGUCUAGUUCGGUCAAACGGUCUAACCAAUUAAACUGGUUAGAACCUGUACAUGACAUCUUCCAGUUGAUAUCUAGCUCGAGUUUCAUUUAGUAAAACAUAUUAUAUACAAGUAAACAAAGUAGUAAGGUUGUGUAAAACAAGUUGAUGUAAAUGGACCAUUUACAGCUCCAGUAUACAAGUUUCUGAGAUCAAGUACUGGAAGCUUCCUGUGUGAUCUUACCAAGUGGAAUUUUGAGAAGUUAUUGGUUGAUAAGAAUAGUUAAGUUGGUCAAGAAUACCCACCAAUGUCCCCUUUUUAAAUUGAGGUAUGUUAUUCUCCCCUCCUAGCUACAUUAGUUCAGGGUCUAUUAGUUAUAAUAAAGUUACUUAGUCAUGUAGGUCAAUUUGAUUUUGCUAAGCAAGAUUCAAGGUGAGAGUAAUAAAUCUUUGAUGAUGUUGUAAUAAAGUUAAGAGAACAAUGUUAAGAAUAGUCUUGGAGCAAAUUUUCCACUUUGUGAAUUUUUUAAUUAAGUGUUAAAAUAGUAGUUUUAUUGUGUCCGUAGAAAUUCUGGAAAGCCUCGUGAGCCUAUGAUACCACCAUGCCAACAUUCCACAUUUAAUUUCUUAUCUUACAUUUAGAAUUUUAAUAGUGAUUUUCAGUCAAAAGAUAUUAUCAAUAUUUGUACAUACAUUUUAUGAACUCAUGAAUGUAUGUUUGAUGCUAUAAAAGAAAGCUCUGGAAAAAUAUUUAUGUUCAAUAGAAUAUCAAAAGUUUACUUGUAGCUUGAGCAUCCAAAGGUGCAAAAAUAUGUGAUGCUUGUAGAGGUUUAAAUAAGCAAUAGUUAUUCAACAAAGAAGGUCAUGUAUGAAGUGUUAUAUAUAAUAUUUCAUUUUCGGUAUCCCCUAUCCCCUCACUUUUUUUGAAUAAUGAAUUAAUUUUUUUUGGGGUUCGUGCUCCCCUCUCAACAAAUGUUGCUCACAUGAAUCGAACCAUCGACCUUAGGGAUCUUGUGAGGCUUUACACCACUAAAUCAACAUCUUGUUGAUCAUAUAUAUUAUUUAUAUAUAUGACUGAAGUGAUAACAAUUCUAAUAUAAAAGUUGUGAAAAUAAUAAAUCUCGGUCUUACAUUACAAUCAUAUGUGAAUAAUUAAGAUUAAAAGUUAAUUUUUGGUCACAUGAUCAAUUAUUUUAAUAUUGAUCGUUCAAAUAAGAUACAACAAUCCAUAUUAACUAUUUUCAUUUCUUACAAUAACAAUUGUUCCACCUAAGUUACUAUAUAUAUAUAUAUAUAUAUAUAUAAAAGAACAAUAAAUCUGGAUUUUAAGACCAAUCGUGGAUGAUUAGAAUUAAAAGUUAGUUAUUGGUCAUAUGAUAAUCAUGUGCAUGUAUUUUUUAAUCUUGAUUGUUCAAUUAAGAUCCAAUAGUAUAUAUUAAGUGUUCUCAUUUCUUACUGUAACGCAUUAUUCUCCACGUAGUUACCUAUAUAUAUAUAUAAUAUAUAUAUAUAUAUAAUUCAAAAGGUUACUUGUGGGUUGAGCAUCAAAGAGGUUUAAAUUUGAUGAUAAGCAAUAGCUAUUCAACAAGGAAGGUCAUGUAUGAAGUGUGGUGAUAUAUAUAUACACACCCAUAAAUGUAACUUUACAAUGCCUUCAAGACAUGGAAAAACAAAAAAAACAUGUAAUUAGAGUGUUUUGUGACAUGUGAUUGUCGAGUUUUAAAGAGUUCCAUGAUUUCAUUCUCAUUAUGCUUCCUUUGUAAGGGAUCACAAAAGUUGAAGUCCAAGUUUGUAUUGAAGCUAAGGUUGAGGUUGACAAAAGACAAAGUAUGAGAUUUUGGAUCAACAACAUCCUUUAAAGGAUUUAGAGAGUUUAUUGAGGUACCGAUAACAUUUGAAAGGUACUUGAUUAUGGUUGUCCCACCAUUGAAACAAGACAUCAUUGGUGUGAUCAACGAAUCAGGGCCUUGAUUGGAAUGCCAUGUUGACAUAAACAUUGCUUGAAUAACACCAUUUGAUAUAAUUGUGGUGGUGUUUGAAUUUUGUUCAUGAUCAAACUGAUUUGGAGACACAUUUUGAACAUGAGACUAUGAAUCUGUUUAGAACCAAUUAGAGAACCUUUUUGAUUUAUGGCACACAACUGCUACUAAUUCUUUUAUGAAAAAGUAUAUUUCUGCAACAAUUAAUGGAAUAAGAUAAUAAGGUUCCAUGAAAUAAAAAAGGCUCAAGCUAUAUUAAACUAAAUCAUAUAUGAUGGAAUAGAAAAGUACCUCAAGAUAGUCGACCACGUUCUCCUUUAUAAGCUUUUCAUCAUUCAUCAAUGUAAGAAUUUUUCCCUUACAACAUCUGCAAUAAGAAUAAACAAUAUUAUGAGACACACAUAACCACUUAUAUUUCAUGGCAUGGCAAAAAAAAUGAUAAUCAUGACAUGAUGUUUCCCCCAAGGUCACUUAUUAUAAGGAAAAGUAAUUAAAAAUUAUAAUAUGAUGAAAAAGAAUUUAUACUUCAUAUCAUUAUAUUUUGAAAGAAGAUAUGAGAGAGAGAGAGAGUGAAAGAGAGAGAAAAUCAACAUGCAAAUAAGAGAGAAAGAGUAAAAAGUAAGGAGGUGGGGAGUGUGGGAGAAGGCGAAGGCGUUUGGUUAAAGGGGAAGGGGUAUGGUAGUCUUAAAGAAAAAGGUAAGGAGGUGAGUGUGGAGGAAAGUUUCAGGAGUUUCGGGGAGGUGAAUGUCUUGAAGGUUGGUAAUAAGGUGCGAGCUUGCCUGGAGGGGCCUCCCCUGGUGCUGAGAAAAGAUAGCUUCCAUCCGAGAGGGUAUCUUAAAGCUCUCCAAAAAACUAUCUCCUUCUUCUUCACAAAUUUCCCAGAUUCAUUGGGGACUAUGGACAUGUGGAAAGAGUUUUCCAAAUGGGCUCGAGUAGGUGACGUUUUCAUUCCUAAAAAGAGAGAUAAGAGGGGGAGGAGGUUUGGGUUUGUGAGAUUCAAAGAAGUGGAAGAUGUCGAGUAUCUUAAAGAUAAGCUGGGCAAUUUCUGGAUUAGGCUUUAUAAAGUGAUUGUGAAUACUCCAAGAUUCCAGAGAAAUCCUAAUUCUCUUGAAAGGAAGUUGGUAGAAAAGAGGGAGAUUUCUAAUCAGGUUGGGCGAAAAAGCCCAACAUUGGGAGUUUCAGAUAGGAGAGUUCCAAAAUCGAUGGUGACUAGUGUUGGUAAAUCUUGGAAGCAGGUGCUUCUGUCCAGUAACAAUGAGAGUGUUUUAGUUGAUCAUGAUAUGUUGACAUGAUGCUUGUGUUUCAAGGUUCCUGAAGAGAACAAGGUUUGGAUGGAGGGUUAUUUGGUGGGUGAACUAAGAUUAGUUGUGGACGCUGGAAAUAUUCAGGUAUUGUUGUAUAAAGAAGGUUUUAUCUCUGUAAAAGCUUUCUUGAUUGGUGGUAGUCGGGUUCUCUUUAAAAGUGAUAAGCCUGAAGACCUAGAGGAAUUACUGAAGGAAGGUAAACAGUGGUGUGACUCCAUGUUCUCUAAGUUGGAUGUGUGGUCCAAUUUUGAAGAGAACUUGGAAAGAUUUGUUUGGAUUAAGUGCCUUGGUGUUCCGAUGAUCGCUUGGUGUGAAGAGUUUUUCAUAAUGUUGGCUAAAUCGUUGGGGACUUUUGUGAAACUUGAUGAAGGAACUACUGUUAAAAAUAGGCUUCAAGACGGUAGAUUUAUGAUUUCUUCAAAGGUGUUGGCAAGUAUAGAUGUGGUAAGAAAGGUUGAAAUAGAUGAUAAGACCUAUGAUAUAAGGACGGUAGAAGACCAGAGUGCUUAUUUUCCGUCUUGCUCCAUGGGGGGUAGAGUGAGUAUUGAGGAGGAUGAGGAUUCUGGGAGUGAUGAAUCAUAGCCAGAGAAGGAGUCUUGCUGGGGAGAAAAUUUGCUGGAUGAAGGGUAUGAAGAUGACGUGGAUGAGGUUGGUAAUUUCCCUAGGGAGGAGGGUAGGUCUCAUCAAAUCCUUUUAGGUGAUUCUGGGAUUAAAAGGGUGUCAGAGAUUUCUAUGCCUCUUUCCUGUCCUGAGCAGUGUGUUCAGACUGCUGAUGGGAAAAGCCCUGCUUCAAAAAAAUUAUUAUUAAAAAGGAAAGAGGUGGCUAAGAUUAAAAAGGUGAAGUGUAAGGUUGGUGUAAGUGAUGUGGUUAAUAUGGUGGAAAGGACAAAAACCCAAAUAAAGGAAGUAGUAGUGUAGAGGAAAUAUUGUCUACAAUAAAGGGUCGUAGCCUUGUAAAUUCUUCUGUGGAAAAGGUUUAUGAAACACCAUCUUUGGGCCUGUGUUUGGAGGCCCAACAGGGUUUUCAAAAUGGUGUUGAGGACCUACUCUCUUUAAAAGAUGUUUCAAGUACCGUGUCUGUUUGUAAUUCAGCCCACUCUAGUGCUAUGGGAUCUUUGCCUAAGAACCUAUCCGUGGACAGUAUCUCUCCUAAUUUAAAUCGGAACUCUCCAGUAAGACAAGGUAGACCGAAGAGAAAGGGGAAUUCUAGAAAGAGGUUGUCAAAUUCCCUCUUCAAAAUGGCACCUAUUUCUGAUCGAAGGAAAGCAAAGAAGAUAAAGAAGAAGUCCUCAAAGUUAAAGCCCCACCAACUGGAUGUGAUAUCCGAACAUGCCUCUAGUCACGUGGAUCCAACUAUUAGCAACUCCAUCUCUGACUCUCAUGUUAGGAAGGUAAAUAAUCUCCUUCUAUCUCAAGGAAUUAGUCAGUCUCGAAAACUCUGGGAUAUUGGAAAAAAUCUGGGAGUUACUUUUGAAGGUAAGGAUGAAGUGAUUAUUAGUCGUAUAGAAGCCAUCCAGGAGAGGGAUAGGAUUGGGUCCAGUUCAGCCAAACAAAGGGUUCAAUCUAUUAAUCCAUGAUUUGUGCAACUAUUAAUGUUAGGGGGUUGGAGAAUGGUGUACAAAAAAGGGAGGUGAAGAAUUUAAUCAGGAAGAAUAAUUUAGAUUUUAUUGCUAUUCAAGAAACAAAACUAGAAGUGGUGGAUGUUCAGUUGUGUAGAUCUUUGUGGUGUAGUGAUAAUUGUGAUUGGGAUUUUAAUCCGUCUAUGGGGAGGUCUUGGGGUAUUCUUAGUGUGUGGGAUAGUUUGAAGUUUCAGAAGGUUGAGGUGGUUCACGGUGAUGAGUUUCUAGCAGUGAAAGGCAACUGGUUGAAUGGUACUGUCAUGUGUUGUGUGGUUAAUAUUUAUUCGCCUUGCAAUUUGAUUCAAAAGAGACACUUGUGGGAUGCACUCUGUGUUUUCAAGGAGUCCCUGGGGCGUAUGCCAGUUUGUUUUCUUGGCGAUUUUAACUCGAUUAGAAUGCCUCCCGAGAGGAGGAGUGUGGGGGGAGUGGAGAAUUGUAGAGAUUCUUAUCUUUUCAAUGAGUGGAUUCGUAAACUCGAUCUUGUGGACUUACCUCUCAUUGGUAGAAAUUUUAUUUGGUAUCAAUCGGGUGGUGCUUGCAUGAGUAGAUUAGAUAGAUUCCUCCUAUCUAAUGAUUGGUUAUCUCUUUGGCCGGAUGCCUCUCAAUGGGCUCUCAAUCGAUCCUUCUCUGAUCACUGCCCAGUUAUGCUGAAGUAUAAGGUGGUUUCUAGGGGUCCUUCUCCCUUUCGUUUUAACAACUGUUGGUUACAGCACAAGGACUUCAAGGCUUUUGUCUCUGAUUCUUGGCAUGGCUUUGUGGUUACAGGUUGGGCGGCUUUUAUCAUAAAGGAGAAGCUUCAGCUUCUCAAGAAAAGCUUAAUCGAGUGGAACAAGUCGAUGUUUGGGUGCUUGGUGUGAAUACUCACUUUUGUCCGGUUCAAUGUUCAACAUUUAAAAUGAACUCCAGUGUAUAUUUAUUAGAGUUAUUUUGUGAAGAAUUUUGGCAUUUAUAUAUAUAUAUAUAUAUAUAUAUAUAUAUAUAAAUAUUUAAAUCCGAAAAUAAGAAAUAAUGAAAUAACAAUUUUGAAGUGAGGGUGCUCCCUGAAAUUUCUCAGCCACUAUGUGAGUGGGAGUUAGUUACCCAGUUUUAAGGAAAGAGAGUUAUGCUUCUAUCCCUUUUUUAAGGGGGUUAAUAAAGAUAGAGGGAGGCACACCGAACAAAAGGGGGGGAGGGAUCAGAGAAAAAUAUUGGUAAAGGAAGAAAAAGAGAGAACAUUUAGCAAAGAAAAUAUAGAGGAAGGCACACUGAACGAAAAAAGUAGAGGUAAAGCAUAAAAGAAUAGUGCAGUAGCUUCCAUAAAAGGUUAGUAUCUUUUUUUGUCAAUUCAUACAUUGUCUUUGUGUUUAUUGUAUAAUAUUUGUAUAUACUUUUAUGAUCAUUUACAUCUAAAACAUUAAAGGUCCUCUUUUGUUUAUAAGCAGUGAUAAUUUGCUGGAGUUUAUAGAAGUUAUAACAAUUCUCAUAUAACAUCUUCAUGUCACAUCUUUAUUUGUUGUUAUGCUAUUAAUUUAUAUACUGCAUCAGUAGAAAUUCAUAAACAUUAUGUUAUAUCUCAUGAACAAACAGAAAACAACACAUAAAUUGAAUCAAUUAACAUCAUUUUAACAUCUAAUACAGAAUCACCUUCAUUCCAAUAAUUAAAACAUAUGUAAUAUAGGACCAUCAUCCAGCAAAUUAAUUCAAUAAUAAUGGUCAUCACUUUAACUUAAAAAAACUAAAACCCCCAAUCUAUUAUCCAUCGCGUUCUAUUUCGGUAAAUGGUGAACCAAAAGAAAAGAAGAAGGCAUCAACCUGCUCCGGCAUUUUUUGACCGCCGCGAGGUCGUCAUUUGGGUCCUGAAAUUACGUCGAUAGAACAACCAAAAAAGAAGAAAAAAGAGGAGGUGGCGGUUCAAGGUUUCAUCCUCCUCCAAUCCCGCCAGAACCACGAAUGGCACCUCUGCUAUCGCCAAAUCGUGUCCAGGAGUGGGUCACCUUCUUAUAACCGCUGGACGGUGCUCCAGCACCCACCGCUACCUCUGGAUGGCCACCGUAGAAGGAGGAAGAGAGUCCAAUAGCUCUAUUGCUGCGAUCCGUCACUGGCGUCACCACUACAAGCAUUCCUAGCCGCAACUAAGAGUGGAACUUCUUUAGGGAUUUCAUUUUUUUUUUCCAUUCCUUUGUCUCUGUUAAAAGAUGGAAGUGUUUCUUAUUUUUAUUUUUGACUUACUGUCUUUUAUUCUUUUAUUGUCCUUGCUUUCUAAUUUUUUAUCAACUAAUUGGUGGCCCAUGUAUAAGCCCGUAGCCUUUCAUCCUUAGUAAUAAUUAGGAUAGCAAAAUCCUCAUUCUUUUAGUAUAGGACGUGUUCAACUUUAGUUUAUUUAUAAAUUAAUUACCAUAGUUUUAUAUAAUAACUCAAUGAAAUGAUACUCUUUUAAAUUAUUAUUAUUCCUUUCUUCCUCUAAAAAGUAGUAAUAGUUAUACAAAAAUAUUUUAAUUGGGAUAUAAUGGCGAGGUUACAACUUGUAUUGUGUUUUUCUCUUUGCUUCGAGUCGAGAACCGGCCGCGGUCACUUGUACUGCGUCUGCUAUCUAUCGAAGUGGGAAGAANNNNNNNNNNNNNNNNNNNNNNNNNNNNNNNNNNNNNNNNNNNNNNNNNNNNNNNNNNNNNNNNNNNNNNNNNNNNNNNNNNNNNNNNNNNNNNNNNNNNUUCCUUUCUAAGCAAAGCUUGGCUAGGCUUAACUCUAUUGAAUCUUUCUCUUUAUCAAUACUUGUGUCACUAACAUGAAGCCUCCUAAUUUCAUCUAACUCCUCUUCAGAAAGACACGAAGUAUCUUGUUCAUACCAUGAAGGAUCAAUGUCUUCUCCUUCACAUAGAAGGACACCAUGGAUUGGUUCAAAGCUUUCUAACAACAUAUGGACCCCGGAAACACGUGGAACAAUGACGGGUACCGCACCAUAUUCUACUAUAAGAUCAAGGUGAUAUUCACCUGAAAAUCAUAUCAUAACUCAUUACCAAGUUUGAUCAAUAGGUUAUUAUAUUCCACACUUGUUUUUUUAGCACUCAAACCACAAGAAAUUAGGUCAUAAGACUAGAACAGAUGUACUACCCACACUGCAUUUCACUCAUGAUUUUUAUAAUUUAAACACAAUUAUGAAUGUGACAUGAUCAUGAUGUGAUUCCAAACAUUAUCAUUAUCAAGACCAUAAUAUCACAGUUGCAGUUAUGGUUAAUUAUCAAAAUUUAAAACCCUAUUUUUCCCACAUCAGAUUAAUGAAUACACAUAUUGUAUCAGCAUUAGAAAAUUUGAUUGAGAGGUUGAAGGAAAAAGGAAACAUACCAACAAAAUCAACGAAUUUGUUCUUGCAAACGGUUCGUCUAGAAACAAUUAGAACACGAGGGAGAAUAACAGAAAUAUCUGAAGGAGUCAUUAUAUGUGAUUGAGUUAUAGUAAUGGUGAUCUUUAUAACAAUGGAAGGAUAAUGGGUACUUAUAAAAGACCUAAGCUUGUAUUGUAUCAAUGCCUUUCUUACCUUGUAGCUUCAUAUUUAUAACUACGGGAUAAGGACUCAUUAGCUACGAUAUCUAAUGCCUACGGUUUUGUUACUAUAUUCACUAACAAGUUACAACACAUGUAUAAAUAUAUUUAUUUAAGGAAAUAACUAAAACAUAGGAACUUCAUGUUGCGUGGCGCCACGUACGUUUAUUUUCAUUUUUUUUUUGUUUUUUAUAUUUUAUUUUAUUGUUUUAAUUAGGAAACAAUUUUGAGCUUUGACUUUUUGAACUUUUCUUCUUCAUGUUGCUAGUUGACUUUUACUUAAAAAACCAUGCACCAAAUGUGUAUAAUGGGUUUCACGACAAAGUGUUUGGCUACCAAUUACAAUUACUUAAAUCAAGCAAAAAUAAAAAAUGUAAAUAUAAACACACCUCACAAUUAUAGUUCGGUAUAAUAACAGGGAAUUUUUUAUUUGAAAAUCAAGUCUUCAACAUUGUAUUUAAAUACUUUAUAAGGUAUAUUUAUAUUUUAUUCACUAUCUACUUUUUUUAUUGUUAAAUAUCUAUACAUUAAUUUCAGAAAGAAAACAAAAACACAUUACACUAUCACAUUGUUGUCAUCAUAUGUUAUACCCAAAACAUUUCAAUAAUCAAUAUGGGUUGAUUAUGUUGUACGUAAAGUUNNNNNNNNNNNNNNNNNNNNNNNNNNNNNNNNNNNNNNNNNNNNNNNNNNNNNNNNNNNNNNNNNNNNNNNNNNNNNNNNNNNNNNNNNNNNNNNNNNNNAUAUUUAUAUUGAAUUUCAUUGUUAAAUUUAAAGUUAUAUCAUUUUGACUUUGAUUGCAACAUUAACACUAAAACAAGAAUUAAAUCUACUAACCAGUUCACAUAAUUUCUUUAACAUAAACAUAUAUAUAUAUAUAUAUAUUUUCUUUUGUUAUUACAUUAUAUCAUAAUUCAUACUUGCUCAAGCAAAUAUAUAUCACUCUUUGAACACCUUUAUUUCCUUAUCUAUACUUCUUAACAAGCUAUAGAUAAAUUCUUAAAUACAAUAAUAGAUUAAACUAUAGAGAUGUUUAUCAUUCUCAACAUAUUCAAUAAUAGAUUCUUAGAUAAACUUGAUUAAACUUAUUUAAGGCUAUGCUUGGUAGAUCUGAAGUGGAAGAAGUGAAGUGAAGUUGUUAACAAGUUGGUAAGGGAACCCCACAAGAACUAGUGACCCUUCUUGCACCAGGAGAGUUAAUAUAUUGCCCUAGGGCAGGGUUUCGAAUGUACCCACAUAAGCAUGGCUUUUGUUCCCUCAGUUUCUGGCAACAAGUGCUUGUGGGUGGAGAAUUGGAAGUGAUUGCACCAAGACAAGAGCUUAACUCCAUUGGGCUACAAUUCACAGCCUCAACCUUGAAGGACACUUCAACUAGAAGCAGUGUCACAAGCACCAUUGCACACAUAAUAGAGACCUUCUUCAUCAUUCUUUUUCUUUUAUGACUCCACACAAAAUAACACAAGUGUUUGUUUCUUAUAUUAACUCAGUGCUUUUGUGGCAGUUUAUAUAAGUGGAGGGUAGAGGGUUUGGUUUGGGGUUCAAUUAAUGAUAGGAUGGUUUAUAGAUGGAGGUAGUGAAGGCCAUGGUCCCACACAAAAAUGGGAGUUGGGCUG